GUUUUACGGCGUCGGAGGAGGUGAAGUGAUGAGGGAUUAUUUUGUUGUUGUAGCCGGUGUGAAUGGAGAUCUCGGAAGCCAAUCGGUUGGAUGGGUUGUGUCGCCGUGAAAGUUGUUGGAGGAAGGGUUUUACCGUGGUGGCGAUUUUUGUGUUUAAUGGGGUCUUGCCGGCGACGGAGGGUUUGGUGAAGGCCACACAGAAGGUUUGUUUGUAUGGUUGUGGUUAGGUGAUUGUUAGGUGAUGAGUGUUGGAAUGCGGCGUAUCACGGUGCGGGUGGAAGGCGAAAUAUGGUAUUAAUGUUAUUGUGAGGGUCGAUGAAGAAAAAGAAGGGUAAAAGGAGAGGAAUGGCGAGGAGGAGCUUUGACGGGGGAAGGAGGUUGUAGGAGGAUGACGUCAGAGACCUGACGGGGGAAGGAGGUUGUAGGAGGAUGACGUCAGAGACCUUUGGGAGAAGAAGAGGGUCCUUCCCAAGAGAGAAAGAUCAAAAAUUCUUUAAUUCGUCUCUUUCGUUUUCUUUUAUUUUUUUUCUAGCAGACCAAAAGAGAGAAUUCUGUUGGUGAGUGGGGAUGAAACCAAUCCCUUUUUGAUUGGUGGGAGCGGUCCCUCUCUAAUCCCUUCACCAACUAUUAAUCAAUUUAUUUUCUACUCCUUUUUUUUGUUUUUUCGCCAGCUGUCCUCUUGGAGAGAGGGAGUACUAUUGUGAGCUGUCAUCAACAAUGUCGUUGGGAAUGGAAGGGGGUGACGUGUGUGGUGUGUGCAUUAGGGAAUAACCUUUUAUUUUAACCAAAUAUAAAAUGAGAUAAGAGUGCCACAUGGAGCUCACUAAUUGGACCAAGGAGAUAUUUUAUUUUUUUAAUUUUAUUAAUUAACUAAAUAAAUUAAAUGUUAGUUUAUAAUUGAUUAAUAAGAGAAAAUGAGGAUAAUGCAUGUGAUCAUUUGAUUAAAUUUGAAUCGACGCUUCAGAUUUAAAUCAAAGAAGCAUACGAAAAUUUAAAAUGCCUACAAUGUCUCUUCUAAAUGAUUUAAUGAAUUUAAAACAAAUUAAAUCAAUUAAAUUAAAUAAAACUCACAAUUUUAAAAAUGAACGUGAUAAAAAUAAAAUAAUAACACAAAAUUUAUAUUUUAUUAUCCCGGUUAGUUUAACGAAAGAAUAAAAAUAAAACAACUAAGAAUGAAUAAAAGUCGGACACAAAUUUGCUCGAAAAAUUAAAUCGGACACACUAAAAUGAUCAGUGUGAAAUAAAUUUAUUGGAAAAAUACAGCGUUUAAUUUAAUUUUGAAAUAAAUUUUGACCGGUUAAAAGGCUCAAACGGAUCAAAAUGCGACCGAGAAAGUUGUCGAAAAAUAUAAUGAGCACACCAGGUUAAACUACGUGAACCAUAGAUUAAUAAUACUGACGUCUGCAAGCUUGAUUUCAAAACUUUUUACCCGCUGAUUUUGCAUGUACUUGAGGAAUGAUUUAACCAAUUUGUCUGUAUAUUCAAGAAUUUAUUCUGACUGAUAUUUUAGGUAUUAUUCAUGAUAAAAUGAAAUAUUAUGCUAUACAUAUGAUACAAACUGAAAUUAAAAUCGAAUUUAUGAAAGUUUUAAAAUGUCCGGACAAAAUUGGGGUAUGAUACCAUGUAGCUUGCAUAGGGGAGAAUAAAAAACCCAAGGUUCGGUGGUUUGAUUCUCCGUCACCUCCAUCUUCAUUAGCUCUCAGAUUUUUGUGCUUAGGAUUCUUGAUGUUAACUGCUUAAUUUUCAGAAUUUGUUAAGCUAUAAUUAAGAGAAAGAUUAGGAUAGGAGUGUUGGAGAGGAGUAAGAAUUUGGAGCCUUUUUCCUUGAAUCCGGACAACUCUGCCGCCUCCGGUGCUGCGGUGCCGGAACUCCGACAGUGGUUCUGCUUUGCCUUCAUGUUGGGAUUGUUUGACUGGUCCAAGGAGUGUUCACUCCAUACCAUUCAUUUCCAUGUGUAGCAUUAACAUGCAUGCUGAUAGCAUUUUUUCGUCUUCAUUAUUGGUGCUGAAUUCUUGCUAACUAUGUUGUUUGAGCCUUAGGCCAAGCUACUGUUCAUCUUAAUCAUGAAAGUCUCGUAAUUAAUUAAUCGAUUCCAAUUCCAAUUCUGUUUUUGACAUUACUCUUGAUGUUGUUUGUGUAUGAAAUAGUUUUUAAUUCCUGUUUUUGGCAUUUUUGAGUCACAUAAUUGUAGAGGUAAAUAGCUUAAUUCAUGUUCAAUUAAAGAUUAGGAUUAGGUAAUUAGUUAGGAAUUAGGCUUAAUCAUGUGCAUGUUAGACUAAUUUCUUAAUUUUUCCAGACUUUGUUUUCACGUGAUCAACCAUGCUAGGCUUAGAAUUUCAUUUGGUUUACCAUGCUAAUUUCCAUGUACAUGAGUAAUCUCACUUUGACUAGAUUACGUUUCAUUUGUGGUUAAGGGCUGAACUGAAAAUUCCAUUUCAUUUUAAUUUGAUAUACGUUUGUUCAUCACGAUCAUCAUAUCGCACCAUGCUAUUAUCAUACCCUCUCAUUCAUUUGAGUCGGCAUUUUAAUUCCUUCUUAUUUGAUGCAUACUAACCAGUGUUGUUUUGUGGCGACAUGCAAAUAAGAGAUCUCAACACUAUCCAAAUCCCUUUUAUUUUUAUUCGUUAGUUUGUAGUAUGUGAAGUGCCAUGCCACUUGUAUGGUUUAUACAUGGCACAUGAGUUGUAAAUUAUAUUUCCCUUUCAUGCCUUCAUGUUGUAUUAUGUGGAUCCAUCCCCUCAUUAUGGGUUAAAUGUUCCCCCUCCCCUAGUCAUGUAACAACUUAAAUUUACUGCUUUCUAGUUAGUUCACCAUGCAUGUUAAUAACCAAGAUAAAAUACAAAACGAUAAAAAAAUCAUUUUUGAAAGAAACAAAAGGUACUUGAUUCAAUGUCAAGUUUUUUUUCCAAAUAAAACUCACACCAUUGCAACGCAAACACUCGAUUUGACACCAAGUAUUUCCCACCCUUUCUUUCCCAUCUUAUCUCCUCAAUCGACCACUAUUUCAAAAUCAAUAAGCAAACCCUUCAUCCAACGUUAAAUGGUCCUUUUUUAAAUCAAAUUCAAAAACACAAUAAAUACGAUUAGGAUUGUAUGCCACGAGCCUUAAGUGGUAAAGAAGGGAUGAGAAUGGAGCUUUCCUACACUCGUUCUGAAUACUUCGAACACAAGACGUUUGGCUUGGUAGUUUUAGGUAUUCACCUUUAUCCAUAGUCUUUAGUGCAAUCCAUAAUUAAUAACACUUUCUUAAAACAUAAAAAUAAUCCAACGCAUUCAAACCUUUUGUUUGAGCCUUAGGGCGACGCAAUCGAAAAUCCUUCUUCAAGGUAAUAAAAAUCAACCAAACAAACAAACCUUUUAAACCCAUGAACUAUGGGGCUCUGAUUUCUCACUUCAACAAGUGGGCAUACGUAGGCACAAGGACCCAAAUCCUUGGCGAGCACACUAAUUUAAAAUCUACCUCCACUCCGCAAGCCUUUGGCAAGAAAACAUUCGAUAAAUAACAUCCACGUAAGCGCAAACAUCCUAGAUGGUUCCCAUGGAGUAACAUGGAUGUGAGGGGUGCUAAUACCUUCCCCUUGCAUAACCGACUUCCGAACCUGUUCGUGGUUGCGAUGACCAUUCUUUGAGGUUUUCUAGAUAUUUUCCCUUUCCUUUAGAAUAAAUAAAAACCGAUGGCGACUUUGUAUUUUUCGCGUAGCGACAACUAACGACUCUGGUUGGGAUAUGCAGACAGCUUGUUGGGACUUCCCUAGCGAGCUGGAGACUCUGCUAGGGACAACUCUCUAAGUAAUUCAAGCCUAACCUAGGUCGCUUCCUUGCGUGUGUGGGUGUUUAUCCUUUUGAUUGUUUGUUUUAUUUAUUGCCUUUCGCUUUAAAUUUUGUAAUAUAUGUUACUUGGAUCCAUUGUUCUAUGAUACCGAAUGGAUGACACCUUAAUUGCAAGAAGCCUUGUGGUAAAGACUCUCCACCCGAGUCUAGCGUGGAAAUUAAGAUAGGAUAGGUUGUGUAGUAUGGGCCACCAAGAAGCUUUUCUCGUAAGGGUCGAUACGAGAAUCUCGCUUAGAGUAGAUUCUUUUGGAGAUGUUGACGACUGUCAAGCUUUUGGCGUAAGCGAUCAAUGUCUUCAUUAGGAUCAAUGACUCUAAGGACCUUCAUAGAAUAUUGAACCUUUGACUAAUUAAUAUUGAUGGUCGCGUAGUGCGGGUCCCUAAGAAGCUUUUCUCGCGUGGGUCGGUACAAAGAUCUCACUCAAAGUAGAUUUUCUUGAUCGAGUUGUCGACCGACAAGCUUUUGUUGUAAGCGAAAAACAGUCAAGGAGGUCCAUGACUUUAAGAACCUUGUCUAGAACCCGAUGUCGAUGGUUACGUACUGAGGGUCCCCGAGAAGCUUUUAUCGUGUGGGUUGGUACGAAGAUCUCACCCAGAUUAGACUCAUUUGAGGGAGUUGACGACCGACAAGCUUUUCCCGUCAGCGCCAAACAGUCAAAUGGAUCGAUGAGUAUGGGGUCCCUAUCUAUAACCCUAGACUACAACCAGUGAGAUCCCUAAUAUGGAGAGAAAUCAGUGUUAUCCUCCAUCCGUAUCUCGAGCCUGUGAUACUACGCCUUCUUGUGUAUGCAACUUGUGAAGCCAUGCUUAUGCACCGUACAUUCAUGCAUUCGUGCAUUCGUGCAUUCGUGCAUUCGUGCAUUCAUGCAUCAUGAGUGAUAAAAACAAAUAUAAUACUCAUGCAUCAUUCACAUAUUAUAUUGCAUUUCGUGAGACCCAUCUCACUAUCACUUGGCCUUUUGUCAGACGAACCACUUCCAACAAAGCUGAUUUCCCGACAUCGGUCUUGAACUUGAAGCAUGUCGUAGAUUACCAUGGAAGAAAUACGAAGAGGUCAAGAAGCGUUGAAGGUCGAAAUCAACCAGCUGAAGACUCAGAUGAGUUUGAUCAUGGAGAUCUUGCAGUCAAUGAUGAGGAAGGAGGGAAAGUCCAUGCCAACUGAUGUACUAGAAGGGGUCACUCCGGUGAGUGUGUCUGACCUCAUUCCACCUUAGGAGCAGCCUCAUGGUUUUCGUCCACAUCCUGUACCUCCAAGGGCUCCGUAUCAGUGACCAUUUCUUGUUCCCCGACCAAGGUGAAGGAACCCUGUGUCGGACCAGUAUCCAAAUCAGCAGUGGAACUUCGCUUAAUAAAGAAGAUAGGGACCAAGAAGGCCUCAAAAGCAGUUUGAUCUAGUUCCCAUGUCGUAUGGUUGAAUCCUACCCCUAUUUCUUAAUAGCUCAUUGGUGUAGUUGAGGGAAGCUAAAUCCCCUCCAACACCUCUUCCUCCAGAUUAUGAUGUGAAUACUAGGUGCGAGUUCCAUUCUAGGACGCCUGGACACUUAAUCGAAGACUGUAAGAGCCUCAAGUACAAGGUACAUGAUUUGAUUGAUUCAAGGGUCAUCGUGCUCACACCGUAAGGCCUGAACAUAAUGAACACUCCCAUGCCUCCACAUGAGGGCACAUCUGCAAUGCCAUGACCGAUGCGAAUGGAAAAUAGGGUAGAUUGGAAGAGUCUGCACCUACGAGUAAAGUUUGAGAAGGAUCCCCUUGAAGAUGAUCAUGUUAUCUUCUGUAAGCCUAGUAAUUCCAGUCUGAGGAUCUGAAUAAGGCCAAUUAUGCCCGUAGUCACUAGUUUUAUUAAAACAUGUUCAUGUGUGAUUUUCUUGAUUGUCAUUUGUAACACUAAUUUGUAGCAAACUAGUUUGUUUUUGAAUAAUAAUGACAUUUUAUUGAAUAUGCAUGUUUUGAAUAAAUCCAUUCGUGGCCACUCAUACUUUAUUUUGUCAAUAUCUAACUUUUGUUUGAGCAAAACCUAGAGGAGGAGGAUGAAAUUGAAAACACGAAAUCACUACUCGUAUAUGUAGAAGCAAGCUUCAAUCCAAGAAUUAUUUUGAUGAAGACAACUUGCAUCAAUGCAAAAAGAGAAGAGCUACAAAGUUAUUUCAAGCAUCAAGUUUUCAAAGCCGCAUAUGCAUUUUGAUCAAGUUUCAUUUUCAAGUCAACCGUUUGCAAGAUUGUUGAUUCACUUCUUAGGUAUAUCUAACUCACUCUUAGAUUAGUAUACAAGUGUUCAACAACCAUGAUCUGGAUUUGCAUCUUUUAACAUAACCAUUUGUUAACACCUUGAAAUGCAAGACACAUUUAUUUUUAAGUAUUUUUCUGCAUUUCAACAGUGUUAACCGGUUAACCAUAUGGGUUAACCGGUUAACAGCCCAGUUUUUCAAAUUCUUUGUUAACGUUUGCAUGCGUUAACCGGUUAACCCAUAUGGUUAACCGGUUAACACUGUUCGUUACAGCAAAAAAUGUUUUUGAAAAAUUAUAUCUUUUCAUCAAUGUUCAUGAGGGAAUUGAUACCUCUUUGAAAAGGUGUUUUGGCAAUAUAAAUUAUUAAAUUUUCAAAAUGAAUUUUGACCUCCAAGAAUUUUCAUACAAACUUCAAAUAAUCACUCUCUCAUAUUUUUCCUUCCAUAAAUUUUUGAAAGUGUUCAUAAUAAAAAUUGUCAUCUCAUUCUAUUGUUGAACACUUGCAUAUUAUCUUUUGAGUGACUUAUUUAUCUAAGGAGAAGAUCAAUCAAGAGAAGAUUGAUAACACUACAUCUUUGAUAAAAUCAUUCAUAGAAUUAUUUCUGUUUGACUUGUGAUCCAGGAUUGUUGGACACAAGGGUUGGUGUUGAAGAGGAUUGUUCUUCAUACACUUGUUUGUCUAUAGGUUAGAUAGUAGGCAUCACCGUUUGUGUGAAUAGGCUGUACCAUAUUCUAACUAUAGUGAAUUCUCUUUCGUGUGAAAGGGGAGUGGAUGUACCUUCGGAUUGUGAAGGGAACCACUAUAAUUUCCGGUGUCGUUUACUUUCCGCAUUUUAAUUUUCCGCACUUAAACAAAAAUAUCCAAAAACCGGAAACUAGAUCGAAGAAAUUUUUAUCACCUAAUUCACCCCCCCUCUUAGGCGCAUUUACAACUUACAUUUGGCAUCAGAGCAAGUUAUAGGUAACUUGUUCCUAGAGAUCCAGCAUGGCUUCCGCAAGCAUAAAUCCGGUUUUCAAAGACGGUGGAAGUAGCAACAAGCCCCCACUCUUCUCCGGAGAAUAUUUCGAUUUCUGGAAAAUAAGAAUGAAGGCACAUCUUGAGGCCCAAGGAGAAGGUAUAUGGGAAGCAGUUGAAGAAGGUCCACACAAACCGGUGAAUGUGGUGAAUGGAGUUGGUACCGCAAAGUUGAAAAACACUUAUGACGAAGAUGAUAGGAAAAAGAUUCUGAAUGAGAAGAAGGCAAUCAACAUACUCCAAAGCGCUCUUAGUAUGGACGAGUUCUUCCGUAUAUCUCAAUGUAAAUCGGCAAAGGAGAUUUGGGACACCUUGGUUGAAACACAUGAAGGAACCACCGAAGUGAAGAGAUCGAGGCUAAACACCCUAAGUCAAGAAUAUGAGAUGUUCCGCAUGCAGCCCGGUGAAUCUAUAGUUGCCUUACAAAAGAGAUUCGUCCAUCUAACAAAUCACUUGAUCGCUCUGGGUAAAACUUUCACUAAUGAUGAUCUCAACCUGAAAGUCCUAAGAUCUUUGACAAGAGAAUGGCAACCGAAAGUGACCGCUAUUUCGGAAAAGAAGAGUCUCUCAACGAUGACAUCCGCGUCUCUAUUUGGAAAACUUCAAGAACACGAAUUGGAACUUGGAAGGCUCGAGAAGCACGAAAGUCAAGAAAAGAAGUCCAAGGGAAUUGCCCUGAAGGUUGAUUCAAAAAGGGACAAAGAUGAUGAGACAUCCGAAGAUGAGAACUUUAUGCUUCUUGUAAAGAAGCUUGGUAAGUUUUUUAAUAAAAAUAAGAAUUCCUCUUAUCCUAAAAAGAAUAACCAUUUCAGGAAAAAGGAAGCAUCCACAUCAAUGCAAGACGUUACGUGUUAUGAAUGUGGACAGCAAGGUCACAUAAAGACGGACUGCCCAAAACUUGCAAAGAAAGGAGGAUUCAAAGGCAAGAAGGAAUUCAAAAACAAAAAGGCUUACGUCGCUUGGGACGAUAAUAAGAUCAGUUCAUCUUCGGAAUCGGAAAGAGAUGAAUGUGCGAACAUGGCUCUUAUGGCUUCACAUCACUCCGAUGAAGAAAUCGAUGAGGUGAGUAGCAAUUUUUCAGUUUAUGACAAUGAUGCACAAGAUGUUAUAAAUGAAAUCUUAAAAGAAUGCAAGACAUUGUAUAAAAUUAUUUCAUCCCAAAAGAAACAAAUUUCAUCCUUAGAAGAAAAAAAUACUGCCUUGGAAAAAUAUAUUGAAAGUGGAAAACAAAAGUUGAUGGAUGAAAAACAAAGUCUUGCAUGUAAGAAUUGUGAAUCUUUAUCUUUUCAAAUUGUUCAACUUAAAAGAGUUUUAGAAAGAUAUGAAAAAGGUCAAAUUGGGUUGGAAGAAAUUCUUAAACACCAAAGGUAUUCUAAUGACAAAAGUGGAUUAGGAUAUUCUAAGUUUUCUAAACCAAGCACAAAUAAGACCAUUUUUGUUAAAGCAAGUGAACAAGUUGCUAAAGAGAAAGUAAACAAUUCUAAAAUUAUGCAUCAAAGUCAUAAAAAGAAAAUGAUUGCUAAGAAGAAGAAUUAUGUUCCUAGAUAUAGAAGUAAUUUUCAACCUACUUGCUUUUAUUGUGGAAUCAAAGGGCACACACCUAAUGCUUGUUAUGUGCGAAACUUUAGCGUUCCAACAGGGCAUUAUGUGUGGGUUAAAAAGGGUACUAACUACCAAGGACCCAAAGCAAUUUGGGUACCUAACAAAACUUGAUUUUGUUUUGUAGGUAUGCUUGAAGACAACCUCGAAUCAAUGGUAUCUUGAUAGCGGUUGUUCAAAGCAUAUGACGGGCGACAUCGACAAAUUUUCACAUCUAUCUUUAAAGGCCAAAGGAUAUGUUACAUACGGUGAUGACACCAAAGGGAAGAUCCUUGGAGUAGGAACCAUUGGAGCACCUCCUGUUACCAUCAUCGAAGAUGUCCUUUAUGUUGAAGGCCUAAAGCACAAUUUACUAAGUAUAAGUCAAUUGUGUGACAAAGGGUUCCGAAUCAAUUUCACAAAAGAUGAAUGUGUGAUAGAGCAUGAAGUCACCCAUGACAUCUUGCUAAAAGGUAAAAGGGUUAAUAAUAUUUUUAUGACUUCUUUUGAUGAUUCUUCCUUGAAGGUAAAAUGCCUAAUGACGAACAACAACGAGGCUUGGCUAUGGCAUAAAAGAUUCGCUCAUAUACACAUGGAGCACAUGAACAAAUUAAUAAAGCAUGAUCUUGUCGUUGGUCUUCCAAAGAUUAAGUUCAUCAAGGAUAAGCUGUGUGACGCAUGCCAAAAGGGAAAGCAAACCAAGACAACUUUCAAAUCCAAGAAUGUUGUAUCUUCAUCGAGGCCACUUCAACUCUUGCACAUGGAUCUCUUCGGUCCAUCAAGAACGAAAAGUUUCGGAGGUAAUGUUUACGGUUUGGUAAUUGUUGAUGAUUUCUCUAGAUAUACGUGGACUUUGUUUCUUGUGCAGAAAAGCGAUGCUUUCAAGGCUUUCAAAAAAUAUGCAAAACAAAUUCAGAAUGAGAAGUCUCUUUCAAUAAUCUCCAUUAGAAGUGACCACGGGGGAGAAUUUCAAAACACAUUCUUUGAAGAAUUUUGCGAAAAACACGGAAUUUCCCACAACUUCUCCGCACCACGAACACCACAACAAAACGGUGUCGUAGAGAGAAAGAAUAGAUCCUUGGUGGAACUCGCAAGAACAAUGCUCAGUGACUCCAACCUUCCUAAAUAUUUUUGGGCGGACGCAGUUAGCACAGCAUGCUUUGUUAGCAACCGUGUCAACAUUCGGCCGAUUCUCAAAAAGACUCCGUAUGAGCUUUUCAAAGGAAGGAAACCUAAUAUAUCCUUCUUUCACAUCUUUGGGUGCAAAUGUUUUGUCCUCAACAAUGGAAAGGACAAUCUUGGUAAGUUUGAUGAGAAAUCCGACGAAGGUAUCUUCCUUGGCUACUCCCUUUCUAGUAAGGCUUUUAGAAUUUUCAAUAAAAGAACUCUUACUAUUGAAGAAUCAACGCAUGUAUGUUUUGAUGAAACUAACCCCUCGAAAGAGGAUAACCUUGUUGUUGAUGACGAUGAUGAUAUAAUAGAUGUAUCACAAAAGGAACUUUCAAAUGUUCAAUCAAUUCCACAAGGAGAUGGCUCACCAAUCAUUGAAGAACAUCAUGAUCUACCGAAAGAAUGGAAAACUCAUAGAGAUCACCCCAUCGAUAAAGUUAUUGGUGAUAUUAGCCAAGGCGUUGCAACACGACUAAAUCUCAAAGAUGCUUGUCUCAACAUGGCUUUUGUGUCUCAAAUAGAACCAACCAAAGUCGAUGAAGCCUUAGGCGACGAUCAAUGGAUAGUAGCAAUGCAAGAAGAACUCAACCAAUUCGAAAGAAAUCAAGUUUGGAGUCUUGUACCAAGACCGGACAACAAGCACAUCAUUGGAACAAGAUGGGUCUUCAAGAACAAACUUGAUGAGAAUGGGAUCAUAGUUCGUAACAAAGCAAGAUUGGUCGCACAAGGAUACAACCAACAGGAAGGAAUUGAUUUUGAUGAGACGUUCGCUCCGGUAGCAAGGUUAGAAGCAAUUCGAUUAUUACUUGCUUUUGCUUGUUCUAUGAACUUUCAAUUGUUUCAGAUGGAUGUCAAAAGCGCUUUCCUAAAUGGCUAUAUCAAUGAAGAAGUCUACGUCAAACAACCUCCGGGUUUUGAAGACUUCAAGAACCCCUCACAUGUUUACAAGUUGAAGAAAGCACUAUAUGGUUUAAAGCAAGCACCGAGAGCGUGGUAUGACCGCCUCAGCAACUUUCUAUGUGAAAAGGGAUUUGUAAAAGGAAAGGUUGACAAGACUCUGUUCAUAAAGAAGAUCAAGGGUAACACCUUAUUGGCUCAAGUCUAUGUCGACGACAUCAUCUUCGGUUCAACAAAUAAAGAUCUUUGCGAAGAGUUUUCAACCAUGAUGCAAGGAGAAUUCGAGAUGUCCAUGAUGGGAAAAUUGAACUAUUUUCUUGGACUACAAAUCAAGCAAACCAAGGAUGGCAUCUUCAUCAACCAAUCCAAGUAUUGCAAGGAAUUAUUGAAAAGAUUUGAUAUGGAUAGUUGCAAAGUGAUGUCCACUCCUAUGGGAUCCGGAACGUACGUUGAUCAAGAUGAAUCCGGAAUGUCAAUAGAUAUUACAAAAUAUCGAGGUAUGAUUGGUUCAUUACUAUAUUUGACGGCAAGCCGUCCUGACAUUAUGUUUAGUGUAUGUUUGUGUGCACGCUUUCAAGCAAACCCGAAGGAAUCGCAUCUCACCGCCGUGAAGAGGAUUAUGAAAUAUCUCAAAGGAACAACGAACGUCGGACUAUGGUAUCCAAAAGGUAGUAUAUGCUCCUUGAUUGGUUAUUCUGAUGCUGACUAUGCAGGCUGUAAGACCGAUAGAAAAAGCACAAGUGGUACCUGUCACAUUCUCGGGAAUGCACUAGUGUCGUGGGCAUGCAAGAAGCAAGCAUGUGUCGCACUUAGCACGGCCGAAGCAGAGUACAUUGCAGCAGGCAGUUGUUGUGCACAAAUUUUAUGGCUUAAGCAACAACUUCUGGAUUUUGGUGUAGACCUCGGCUGCAUUCCUCUUCGAUGCGAUAACACAAGUGCCAUCAACAUCACAAAGAACCCGGUCAUGCAUUCAAGGACAAAGCACAUAGAUAUCCGACAUCAUUUCCUUCGAGAUCACGUGCUUAACGGAGAUGUAGAUGUUACGUUCGUGGAUACACAUAACCAACUCGCCGACAUAUUCACAAAACCAUUGGCUAAAGAGCAAUUCUUCAAGAUUCGGCGAGAACUUGGUAUUCUCAAUGAAGGUGACAUCUAACCUUGUCUUCAAAUUACUUGUUAUGUGGUAUAGUUGCUAAAAAUGUGUUUACUUUCAGUUUUUAUGUUAUGCAAUGCUAGCACUUCUUUUUCGCCGUUUUCCGUUUUUCUUACUUUCGCAUGUCCAAAUAUUAUCCGUUUUAAAAUAUUUUUAAAUCGAAAGUUGCGUAUUGAUAAGUGCUAACACUUUGUGCAAAAAUUUUGAAAAGAUCUUUUCCCGAUUCUUCCAAACGGAGCUGCUGUUUUUUUUCUACUUUUUGAAAAAUUCAGUCCGUUAACCGGUUAACGGUAUAGGUUAACCGGUUAACACCUUCCAACAACAACUCUGUUUUUCGUUUUUAAAUACAACAUUUUUAAAUUAAUUGUUUUAUUUUUAUUACGUGUGUUUAUGUUCAAUGCAUGUGCUUUACUCUUCCACCUUCUCCUCAUAACUCUCUCCUCCCUCAUUACUCUCCAUAAACCCUUCAUCUCUUUAUAUUCAACUUUCAUAACUCUCAAACCCCUUUUCCGAAAAUCCAUCUCUAAACCCUAGAAUCUUCAUCUUCUUCAUGGCUCCACCAAGAAUGGGAAAGGCUCCUGUAUCAUCAUCUAGCAGUGAAGAGGAAGAGUUGAAAAUGGAAACCGCCAAGAAAAGGAGGAUGGAUUUCAAAGUCAGGGUUAGACAUCUGCUUAAGGGUAAGUAUGUGAAUCUCAAAUCCUUCACUACUUUCUCUUUCCCUGAGUUGUUGAGAUACCAAGGAUUGCAUGCGUUCAUCACUGAUAAUGGGAAAAUUUACACUGAUUUGGUAAAAUCUUUUCUGAAUCAUUUUACUUUAAAUCUGAAUGAUGAUGAACAACACAUGCUGUCUGCAACUGUAAGAGACUCUGAAAUUGUUACAGACCUUAGGACGUUGGCUGCGUCUCUUAAGAUUCCAUAUUCUGGUUUUUUCCUUCGGAAAGGUGUUAAUCAUGAGGAAGGAAAAUGGGCUCAGUAUGAUAAGAUGGAAUACUACUACUCUAUCUGCAGAUUUCCCAGGGAGGUUGUUAUGUCGGGACAGCGCACUUCUCGCAUACUCUGCUAUGCUAAGAAUCUGUCGGUUGACGAUCGUAUGCUGCAUUAUGUUAUCUGCCAUGUCCUGCUGCCCAAGGAUUCCAACCUGUCUCAAAUCAAUGAUUUGGAAAUGCAAGUUCUGUUUGCAGUGAAGAACAAAAUCCGAGUUAAUUGGCUGCCCACUAUGAUGUAUCAUCUGAGACAGCAACUUUCUCUCAAAACAAGGCUGCCAUACGGUCGCCUUAUCUCAAGGAUUUUGGAACUCACAGAUAUGGAAAUCGGGAGAGAACCGUUUUUGGCUAUGACCACUACCGCCAAUGAAAUCAACGGCGUUACCAUCAUGAAAAAUACUGGAAUUAUUCAAAGCAACGACGGCUCCUACAAAUAUGAUGAUGGGUCCUCCUCUUCAAACUUCCCUAUUCCGGAAGGUGGCAUUACCAAUGAGUUUCUCUAUACUACCAUGAUGAGCCACCACCGUGAAACCACCCGUGCUAUCAAGAGUCUUCGGAACCUAGUGUUGAGUUCCCGCAACCUUCCUGUAGAAGAUGAUGAAGGUGAAGACGGUAGUGAAGCGGAUGGCGAGGAGGAUGAGGCCGGUUCGGAAGAAGAAUAGAGCACUAUGUUUUUUUUUCUAUGUUUCUGUUAUAUGUUGUUCUAAUAUUUUUGUUGUUAAACUAUGUUUAUGCUAUUUAUGUUUACCAAACACUUAACUUUUAAUCCAUAGUUAUUUUGUCAUAAUAUGUGAUUCAAUGUGUGUAUGCUUGUAUACUUGUUUUUUUUUUAGGUCUCUUCCUUUUUGCUAAUGACAAAGGGGGAGAAGACUUGUUUCUCUAAUGGUUUUCUAUGCAGAAUUAUUGUAUGCCUCUCAUUUAGGGGGAGUUCUUAAAUUUAGGGGGAGAAUCAACUUAGAGAAACUUCACUUUCAUGCAUCUAUUUNAGACGUUACGUUGUUUGAAUCGUGGGACAGCCAAGUCACAUAAAGAACGGACUGCCAAAACUUGCAAACGAAAAGGAGGAUCUCAAAGGCAAAAGGGAAUUCAAAAAACAAAGCUCUACGUCGCUUGGGACGCUAAUAAGAUCCGUUCAAUUCUCUCCGGAAUCGCAGAAAGAAGCCAUGAGAUGUCAGCGAAACAUGACUCACUUCAUGGACUUCACAUCCACUCCGCGAUGAAAGAACUCAGAGAGAGGAAGUAGCAUAUUUUCACAGACUUCUAACUGACAAUUGCAUGCCAACGAUGUUAAAUAAUGAAAACUCUCUAAGCACAGAACACUGCAAAGACCGAAUGUUAUAAAUAUUAUCAAUCCAAAAGAACCACAAUUGUUCACAUCCUUAGAAGAAAAAAAUACUCGCCUCCUGGAAAAUAUAUUGAAGUGGAAACACAAGUUGAUGGAUGAACAAACCCAAGAGUCUUGCAUGUAAGAAUUGUGAACUCUUUACUACUUUCAAAUUGUUCACUACAAAGAGUUUCGAAAUAUGAAAAGGCCCCAAUUGGGUUGGAAAAUUCUUCUUAACACAAGGAUAUUUCAAUGACAAGAGUGCUUAAAGACCUUUCUAACUAUUUCUAACCAGACACAAUAAGACCAUUUUUGUUUAAGCAAAGAUGCAACAUUGCCAAGGGCGCAAAGUUACCAACAAUUCUCAAAUUAAUGCAUCAAAGAUCACUAAAGAAAUAUGCUCAAGCAGAAGACAGAUUAAUGUUCCCUAGAUAUAGACAGUAUUUUCCAAGCCUAUUGCUUUCUAAUGUGAAAUCAAAGGGCACACCUAAUGCUUAGUUAUGUGCGAACGCCGUCUGCGUAUCAACAGCAGGAAUAUGUAGUGGGUUAAAAGAGUAUACUACACAAGGACCCAAAAGCAACCUAUGGGUACCUACCCACAAAACACUUGAUUUUGUAUUUCGUAGGUAUGCUGAAGCACUCGAAUCCAAUGGAUAUCUUUCGAUACGCGGUUGUUCAGCACUAUGCGAGCGACAUCGGACAAUUCUUCCACUAUCUUUAAGCAAAGGAUUAUUACAUUCACGGUACGAUGACACAAGGCAGCAUCUUCGGACGUAGGAACCCAUUGGAGCAACUCCUGUUGACCUCAUCGAGAAUGACACCUGUAUGUGAAGGCCUAACCACAAUUUACUCAAGCUAUAGUUCAAUUGUGUGACCAAAGAGGUUCGAAUCAAUUCUCACAAAAGAUGAAUGGUGAACUAGAGACAUGAAGUCACACUCAUGAAAUCCCUUGACUCAAAAGGCUCAAAAGGCGAUUAAUAUACUUUUAUGACUUCUUUUGAUGAUUCUUCACUUGAGGCUAAUGCACCUAUAGAACGAACCCAACCGGCUUUGGCCGGCUAUGGCAUAAAGAUCGCUCUUCACACAUGGAGCACCUGACAACUUAAUAACAGGAUCUUGUCGUCUGGUCUUCCAAAGAUAUAAGUUCAUCCAAGGAAGUUGCAAACCUGUGACACCUGCCAAAGGGCAAAGGCAAACCAGCACGCACUUUCAAAAUCCCAAGAUGUUGUGUCCCUUCCGCGUACAACGACGGCACUUCACUCUUGCACAUGGAAUCCUACUUCGGUCAUCAGAACGAAAAAGUCUCGCGGACCGUAAAAUGUUAGAACGGAUCUAGAAGGUAAUUGUUGCAUGACUUCUCUAGAUUACGUGCGACUUUGUUUCUUGUGCCACGCAACAAGCGCGUUUGCUCUUCAGGCGUUCAAAAAAUAUGCAAAACAAAUUCACGCACAUGAGAAGUCUCUUUCAUAUUUCCAUUAUAGAAGCUGACCACGGGAGAAUUUCAAAAACAUUCUCUUGAAAAUUUUUGCGAAGCACGAAUUUAUCAUAUAUCCGCACCACGAACAACACAACCAACAACCCGGUGUCGUAAGAGAGCAAAGACAUAGUCCUUGGGCGAACUCGACAAAGAACAGAUGCUCCAGUGACUCCAACCUUCCCUAAAUUUUCGUGGGCGAGCACCGCAACGCUUACGCAAGCUGCUUUGUCUAGCAACGUUGUUUCACAUUCGAACCGAUUCUCAAAAACUCCGUAUGAGCCUUUUCAAGGAAGGCACCUCAAUAUAUCAACUUCUUUUCACAUCUUGAGGUGCACCACUGUCAGCUUUGUCACUCAACAUUGGAAGGACAAUUUCGUAAGUUUCGAUGAGAAUCGCGCCGAAGGUAGCUUCCUUGAAGCAUACUCCCUUUAUCAGGCUUCUUAGGAAUUUUCUAAAAGAAAUUUACUAUAAGAUCAACGAUGUAUGUCUUUGAUCAACUUACCUCGAAAGAGGCAUAACCUUGUUGUUGAUGACACAUGAUGGACAUAAAGAGGCUAUCAAAGGGAACUGCAUCAAAUGUUCAACUCCAUUCUACAAGGAGGGGGAAGGCGGAUCACAAUCAUUGAGAUUCCAUGCUCUACCGAAGAGUAGGAGACUCAUAGAGAUCACCCAUUGAUAAAGUUUAAUUAGUGCAUAUUAGCAAGGCGUCCUCUGCAACACGACUCAGAAUCUCACAAGUGCUUGUCUCACACAUGGCUUUGUGUCUAAAUAAACCACCAAAGGUCGAUUGAGCAUUAGGCGACCAUCACAUGCGAUUAGUAGCAAUGCAAGAAGAAUCACAAUUCGAAAGAAACUCAGUUUGCGUAUCCGUUACCAACGACCAAGACAACCAGACAUCAUUGAACAGAUGCGUCGUCAAGACAACUUGCAUUUCGAGGUUCAUAGGGAACACAACCAAAACCAAACGGGGGAACAUAUGGACUAUGUUACGGUUACAAAGCGAGAUUCGGUCGCACAAGCUACAACAGACGAAGGAAAUUGAUUUUGAUGAGAACCGUUCGUCAACCAGGUAGCAAAGUUAGAGGCAAGGUCGAUUUUACUUCUGUUUGCAUUGGUUUAUGCAACUUUCAAUUGUUUUCGAUGAUGUCAGAGCGCUUCCUAAUGGCAAUAUAUCAUGCAGAAGUGCUACGUCAAACACCUCCGGGUUUGACCGACUUCAGAACCUUCCAUGUUUUACGUUUGAGAAAGCACUAUAUGGUUUAAAGCAAGCACCCGAGAGCGUCGGAUAUGAACCGCGACUCAGCAAAACUUUCUAUUGCAAGGGAGUUUGGUAAAGGAAAGCGUUGACAAGUUUGAUUUACAUAAGGAUCAAGGGUAAACUUAUUGGCGCAGUCUAUGUCGACGCAUCAUUCUUCGGUUCACCAAAUAAAGAUUCUUUGCGAAGAGUUUUUUCACCAAUGAUUGCAAGGAGCAAUUCGAGAAUGUCCAAUGACUGGGAAAUUGCAACUAUCUUUCGUGGACUACAAAAUCAGCAAACAGGGUGCCAUCUUCAUCACCAUCAAGUAUGCAAGGAAUUAUUUGAAAGAUUCGAUAUGGUAGUAUGCCAUGUAUGUCCACUCCUAGGGAUCCGGAACGUACGUUUGAUCAAGCUGAAUCCGGAAUGUCAAUGAUAUACCAAUAUCCGAGGUAUAUUGGUUUCAUACUAUAUUUUGCGCAGUGGACCUGACCUAUAUGUUUAGUGCUAAAUGUUUGUGUGCACGCUUUCAAGCACAACCCGAAGGAUCGCAUCUCCACGCCGUGAGGAUUAUGAAAUAUAUCACAAGGGAACACACGAACGUGGGAUAUGGUAUCCAAAGGUUAGUAGUAUGCUCUUGAUUGGUUAUUUUGCAUGUGCGUAUGCGCCUUAAAGACCGAUCGAAAGCAGUAGGACCUGUCACAUAUUCGAAUGCACUAGUGUCCGUGGGCAUGCAAGAGCAGAUGUGUCGAUUAGCCGGCCGAAGAGACACAGUGAGCAGCAGUGGAUUGUGCCACAAUCUCUUCCUGGCAUCACGCACACACUUCUGGAUCUUUGUUAGCUCGCUGCGAUUCUCUUCGAAUGCCGAUAACACAAGUGCUAUCACUCCAAGAACCGGUCUGACUUCAAGACGGAGCAAUACAGCUUCCGACAUUCAUUUCCCUCCAGAUCGUGCUUAACGGAGUGUAGAGUUACGUCUGGAUACACCUACAACUCAAGCUGACAUAUUCCAAACACAUUGCGCUAAGCAGCAAUUCUUCAGGAUUCCUCCGAGAUUGGAUUACUCAUGAAGGUGCAUCUAACUUGCUUCAAAUUACUUGUUAUGUGGCAUAGUUGCCUAAAAAUGUGUUUUCUUCAGUUCUUUAGUUUAUGCUGCUACAGCAUUCUUUUUCGCGUUUUCCGUUUUCUUACUUUGCAUGAUACCAAAUAUUAUCGUUUAAACAUAUGUUUAACUCGAAGGUUGCGUUUGAUAAGUGCGAACACUGUGUGCAAAAUUUUGCAAAGAUCUUCGAUUUCACACGGAGCUGCUGUUUUUUUUCUACUGUUUUGACAAUAUUCGUCGGUUACGGUUACGGUAUUAGGCAGCCGCAGUUAACACCUCCAUCCCACAACAACUCUGUUCUUCGUUUUAACGGAAAUUUUUAAAUUAUUGUUUUAAUUUUCUGUUGUGUGAUUUAUGUUAAUGCCAUGUGCCUUUACUAUUCCCUUCUCCUUCAUAACUCUCUCCUCCCUUCAUUACUCUCCAUAACCCUUCAUUCUUUAUUUCACCUUCAUACAACUUUCAAACCCCUUUUCGAAAUCCAUCUCAUAAACCCUAGAAUCUUCAUUUUUCUGGCUCACAAGUGGGACAAGGCUCCUGUAUCUUUCAUCUUCCAGCAGUGAAUGAGGAGAGUUGAAUGGAAACGCCAGAAAGCGAGGAUGGAUUCAAAGUCAGAGGUGGAUCUGUUAAAGCGGUAAGUAUGUUGAAUCUCAAUACCAUUCAUACUUUUUUCACUGAGUUGAUUGAGAAUCUCAAGAUGUGCCAUGAGUUUAACUGAUAAUGGGAAAUUUCAGCUGUUUGUAAAAUCUUUUCUGAACCAUUUUACUUUAAAUUGAAAUGUAUGAUGAACUACACAUGCUGUCGGCACCUGUAAGAGACUCGUGGAAAUUGUACAGACCUAAAAGGACGUUGGCUUUGGCGGGGCGGGCUUUUAUUCUCUAUUAGAUUCCAUAUUCAGGCUACGUUUCCUUCAGGAAGUGUUAUCGUGAUGGGAAAUGGGCUCAGUAUGGUAAGAGGGAUAUAACUACUCUAUCUGCGAUUCCAGGGCAAGGUUGUUACUGUCGGGAAACGCACUUCUCGCCCACUCUGCAUAUGGCUUAGAAUUCUGUCGGAUUGCACGCAUGAAUAUGCGUGGCAUUUAUGUUAUCUGCCAUGUCCUGCUCGCCCAAGGUUCAACCUGUCUCAUCAAUUGUUUGGAUUGCAAGUUCUGUUUAGCAGUGAGAACACGAACUCCGGACGUUACAUAGGCUGCCACUAUGAAUCGUUUAUCUGAGACAGCACUUUCUCUCUCCAAACAAGCUUGCAUCGUCGCCUUAUCUUCAGGAUUUGUGGAACUCACAGCAUAUGGGAAAUCGGGGAGAGAAGUUUCUUCGAUUCAUGACCACUAAACCGCAAUGACAGCACAGGCGGCUUACAUCAUGAAAUACUGAAUUAUUCACAGCAACGACAGGCUCCUACAAAUAUGAUGACUGGGUCCUCCUCUUCAACUUCCCUAUUUCCGCAGUGGCCCAUGACCAAAUGCAGUUAUCAUCUUACUACCAAUCAUGAGCCACACGUGAAACCACCCGUGCUAUCAGCAGUCUUCGGCAGCUAAUGAUGAGUUCCGCAACCUUCACUGGGUGAGUGCUAUAGGUGAGAGACGUUAGUGAAAGCGAGGGAUGCGCGGAGGAUGAGGCGGUCUCGUAGAAAGCAUAGAGACACUAUGUUUUUUCUCUUCUUGUUUCUAGUUAUAUGUUCAGUUCUUAAUAAUUUUAUGUAUGUAUACUAUGUUCUAUGCUAAUUUAUGUUUACCAACACUUAACCCUUUUACAUCCAUAGUAUAUUUGGUAACAUAAUAGUGAUUCAAAAUCGUGAUGUAUGCUCUAAUACUAUUGUUUUUUCUUUUAAACGUCUUUCGUUAUUUGCUAAUGACACCAACGAGGAAAGACUGUCUUCUCUCAUGCGUUUCUAUGCAACAAUUAAUUGUAAUGCCUCUCACUUUCAGGGGAGCAAGUUUAAAUUUAGGGAGAGAAUCAAACUUAGCAGAACUUCGCUUUCAUAGAGCACUCUAUUUUCAAAGUGCAGGGGUAUCAUCAAAGGGGAGAUUGUAGAAGCAAGCUUCAAAUCAAAGAUUAUUUUGAUGGAGACACUUGAUCAAUGCAAAGGAGAUGAGCUUACAAAGUUAUUUCAAGCAUCAGUUUCAAGCGCUAUGCUUUUGUCAGCCUUCAUUUUCAAGUCACGUUUAGCAGCUUGUUGAUUCAUUUUCUGGUUAUCUAACUCACUUUUGAAUAGAAUUAGCAUAGUGUUCCAAACCAUGAUCUGAACUUUGCAUCUUUUACAACUAACAUUGUUACACCUCUGAAUGCACGAACAUUUAUUUUUAGUUAUUCUGCAAUCAUUACCGUGCUAACGGUUAACCUAUGGGGUUAACCGGUUAACGCCAGUUUUUUCAAAUUCUUUGUUAAUGUUUGCACUGCAGUUCGACGUUAACCCUAUGGUGUACGCUGUACAUGUCGUGUACCUGCAAAUCCAUGUUUUGAACUUAGUAUCUUUUUCAAUGGUCAUGAGGGAAUGAUACUCUUUGAAGGAUUUGUUGUGGCAUUAAUUAUAAUUUUUCACAUGAUAAUUUGACGUCAGACAUUUUCAUACAACUCUCAAUAUAAUCUCUCAUGCAUAUUUCCUUCCGUAUCAUAACAUUUUUGGAAGGUUCAUAUAAAAUUGUCAUCUCAUUCUUUGUUGAACACUUGACUAUAUUCUUUUGAGCGUGACUUAUUUAUCUAGGGCAUAUCAGAGAGGAUUGAUAAACUACAUCUUUGGAUAAAUCAUUUAGAUUACUUUAUGUUUGACUUUGUUGCAUGGAUUUGUUGGCACAAGGGUUGUGUCGUUUGAAGAGACUUGUGGUCUCAACGUUGUUUGUUAAUAGGUUAGAUGCUAGGCAUCCAGACGUUUGUGUGAUAGGGCUGUUACCAUUACUCUACUAUAGUUGAUUUCUCUUUCGUGUGAAAGGGAGUGGAUGUACUUCGAUUGUGAGGACACACUAUAAUUAUUCCGGUGUCGUUACUUUCCGACAUUUUUAUUUUUCCGCACUUUAACAAAAAUCAAACGGAAAGUAGCUCGAAGAAUCAUUUUCAUCACCUACAUUCACCCCGCCCCCCCCCCUCUUAGGCGCAUUUACAACUUACAGUAUAUUGUUGAAUAAAACCUUGCUGAUGAUGUAAGGCAUUGUUUCAAAUCCCAAACACCAAAGAUAUAAGGAAGAUAAUCCCUAGUCAACCCCUUCGAGCCAAGGAGUAGGAGUUUCUUUCUAAAUAUGAAACCCUUAAUUUUAAACCGGGGCAGGGUAGUCGUCAGUUAGUUUGACCAUGCGUUCAAAUUCCAAAGAUAAAAAGAGGAGUGUCAUAUCUGAGGAUCGACCAUAUCUUAUCCCUCACAAGAGGUCGGAAACCCCCAAAUUCCAAAUGGUUGUCCCUCACCAACAAAGGAAUGAGGCAGUCAUAACCCUUCCCAAUCAAACGGCAAAAUGCCACAUGAAUUGUUUCAACAAAAGAAACAAGAAAAAAAAAAGCCCGCUAAUUCAAAAACUUGAAAAUGAGUGACUUAGGAAAAAGUUAGGGCACCCCUGUGGAUUGUAAAUCUGAACCAAUCCAGCAAAAAUAGGGAAAUGAAAAAAUGAAACAGAAUGAGGAAUCAAAAGAGGAUCCUCAACAAGAACAAAUUAGUGUGGCUAUAAACCAAAUAGAAGGUGCAUGAUUGCCACUCCAAAAAGAAAAAACCUCGUAGGUUCCUUUUCACUCCCAAAUCCCUUUUGGAAUAAGAGAGCUUGUAUCAAACUAGCUGAACGUAGGACUGGAGAACAUCAAGAAGAGUGGGUGGGUUAGGAUAGGUUUGAGUCUUACAUCCUUUCUUUCUGAAACCGUGAACCAUACCACUUUACAACCCUCAAAAGACCUAAUUGAAGCAAGGUUUAUUUCUAAAGCAUACCAUGGUUAGAAUAACCGUGUUAAAAUUGACUCCUUAAUGAUUUGUUCAUCAUUUAUGUUGAUAUUGAUAUGACAUUCUUAAUCAGUGAUGCAUUCAUUGUAUGUCAUAAUUCCAGUGAACACGCUUGGAUUUCAAAACUAGCAUAAACAUGACAUUGCUAUUAUCAUUUCCAAAAAUGAACAUGUGUUACUCAUGAGUGAGCAUCUGAUGUCAAGAGAGUUUUCAUAAUGAACGUGAAUUGGAAAGCUUGAUACCACCAAAAAAGAAGGAUGCCUAAAAGACUUUGUUAAGUAGAGGCAAAUUAUUUCAACUGAUUGAAUCAUAAGACAGAACACCUGAGAACCCCAUUCAGAAGAGACAGGUUACCUUGAUUCGAUCGUACUCAGAGAGAUAAACACCUAAGACGCUGUUGAGCAGCACCAAAUUAUUUUGAUUGAUGACAAUGAGUGUUGAAAGCCUGAGACUCCGUUGAUUAACAAUCGGUCACUUCUUUUGAUUAUAUCAAGGAGCAAAAUGUCCAAGGAACUCCGUUGAGCAGAAGGACAAGAUGUUUCAUAUUUCAAUCAAUCUGAGACAGUUACGUCAAGAAAUUUCAACAAGACUCAGUUAGUCUGAGAAAGUUAUGUCGAGAUUCAGUGAAUCUUUCCAAAGAUCAGAUAGUCAGGGGGUAAACUAUCCCAGUUGAUCGCAUCAGAAGACUAAACACCUAAGAACUCCGCCGAGCAGGGGAAAAUUGUUUUGAUUGAUCCUAUCAAGUGUUGAACGCCUGAGAUUCCACUGAGCAACGACCAGUCACGUCAUGUGAUUACAUCAAGAAGCAGAAUGUCUAAGAACUCUGUUAAGUAGAAAGAUAAGACACUUCAAUUUUCGGUCAAUCUGAAGCAAUCACGUCAAUAAAUCUCUAUAAGAUUCAGUUGAUCUAAGGAAGUUACGUUGAGAUUCAAAAAAUCUCUACAAGACAUUAGUUAAGGGCAUUCCCUCAGAGAUAUUCUAGCCAGGGGAAAAUUUAUUCCAAAACCUAUACUGGGGAAAGUUACCUCAGGAACCCAAGAAGUCAAUCUUCCGAGAUAGUUAAUCAAAGAUAUACAGUUCCAAGAAACUGGGGCAGGUCAGAUCGAGAUAGUUAUUAUGACAAAGCUGCUUUACAACUUAUUAUUGGGGCAAUACAUGCAGAUUCCCACUUGACUGGGGCAUGAAUGGCUAGAGAAGAAAGAUUCUUUAUAUACUUUUGAGGCUGUUCAGAGCAAGAUCUAUGGUGCAUAAGAGACUUCUAAGUUCGAGAUGAAUGUUGGGGAGUCACGCUAAACACAUCCCCUAACCUUUCAACAGAGAACCAUGAUCAUAAAUGAUAAACCCAAUGGUUAUUGGUACCCUGUGUUCUUAAUCUCCAGAUAUUUCCUACCAUACCGUCUAACCAAAAUCCUGACCAUGCAUCAACAUCUGGCAUAAGUAAUCAUGCAUUACAUAACAUUGCAUCAUAAAGCGCGUAGCAUAUUCCAUCAAGAUGGAGCAUUACCCCUUGCAAAAUAAACAUGCAUAUCUGCAUAAAAGUCCUUCUCGAAAGUGUAAAAGAAUCCUCUGAUAAGAUAUUCUUCCUCCCCAGUUGAGAACAUCGUCAUGAAACUUGGGAUUGGUAUUCCCCACAGGUUUCUCGAAGUCUCUCCUUUGCAAAUACCUUAGGAAUCUUCAAUCAGUCGUUUACCUUUCGUAAGUGAUCCCCUACCUUUUUCCUGGGAGGUCCUCUUUCCUUCUUUUAAUACUCUUUCGUAUUGAUUUGCAACACUCGUCCGUGUUAAUCAUCUCUUUUUCAAUACUCGUCCGUAUUGAUCUUCAACACUCGUUUGUGUUAAUCGUUUCAUUUUCGAUACUCAUCCGUAUUGAUCUCCAACACUCGUCCAUGUUGUUACAUUCCUUCAAUACCCGUUUGUAUUGAUCUUCAACACUCGUCCGUGUUAAUCAUUUCAUUUUCGAUACUCGUCUGUAUUGACCUCCAACACUCGUCUAUGUUGAUACCUUCUUUUUCAAUACUCGUCCGUAUUAAUCUUCAACACUCGUCCGCGUUAAUCAUUUAUUUUUCAAUACUCGUCCGUAUUAAUCUUCAACGCUCGUUCGUGUUGUUACUUUCUUUCAAUACUCAUCCGUAUUGGUUUGCAACACUCGUCUGUGUUAAUCAUCUCAUUUUCAAUACUCGUCCGUAUUGAUCUUCAACACUCGUAUGUGUUAAUCAUCUCAUUUUUAAUACUCGUCCGUAUUGAUCUCCAACACUCGUCCAUGUUGUUACCUUCUUUCAAUACUCAUCUGUAUUGACUUGUAACACUCGUCCGUGUUAAUCAUCUCUAUUUCAAUAGUCUUCCGUAUUGAUCGUCAACACUCAUUCGUGUUAAUCAUUCCUUCUUUCAAUACUCGUUCGUAUUGACCCUUAACACUCAUCCGUGUUAAUCAUUACUUCUUCCAAUACCCGUCCGUAUUGAUUUUAAUACUCGUUCGUAUUGAUUUUUAAUACUCGUCCGUAUUGAUUUGCAAUACUCGUCCGUAUUGAGCAUCCACACUCGUCCGUGUUGGUCCUUUGUCAAUACUCGUCAGUAUUGACCUCUAACACCCGUCCGUGUUGAUCUCUUUUACUCGUUUGUAUUGACCUCCAACACCCGUCCGUGUUAAUCAUUUCUUUUUCAAUACUCGUCCAUAUUGAUCUUCGACACUCGUCCAUGUUAAUCAUUUCUUUUUCAAUACUCGUCUGUAUUGGUCUUCAACACUCGUCCGUGUUGUUAAUCAUUUCUUUUUCAAUACUCGUCUGUAUUGAUCUUUGACACUCGUCCGUGUUAAUCAUUUCUUUUUCAAUACUUGUUUGUAUUGAUCUUCAACACUCGUCCGUGUUGUUACCUUUCUUUUUCAAUACUCGUCCGUAUCGAUCUUCGACACUCGUCCGUGUUAAUCAUUUCUUUUUCAAUACUCGUCUGUAUUGAUCUUUAACACUCGUCAGUGUUAAUACCUUCUUUUUCAAUACCUGUCCGUAUUGAUCUUCAACACUCGUCCGUGUUAAUCAUUUAUUUUUCAAUACCCGCCCAUAUUGAUCUUCAACACUCGUCCGUGUUAAUCAUUUCUUUUUCAAUACUCGUUCGUAUUGAUCUGCAACACUCGUCCGUGUUAAUCCUUCCAUUUUCAAUGCUCGUCCAUAUUGAUAUUCGAAACUCGUCCGUGUUAAUCUUUUCUUUUUUGAUACUCAUGCGUAUUGAUGUUCAACGCUCGUUCGUGUUGUUACCUUUUCCUUCGAUACUCGUUCGUGUUGAUCUUCAACAUUCGUCCGUGUUGUCACCUUUCAAUACUCGUCCGUAUUGAUCUCUAACACUCGUCCUUGUUAAUCAUUUCAUUUUCAAUACUUGUCCAUAUUGAUCUCCAACACUCGUCCGUGUUGUUACCUUUUUCCAAUACUCGUCCGUAUUGAUCUGCAACACUCAUCCGUGUUGGCCCUUCCUUUCUGACAUUCACCCGUGUUGAUACCUCAUUUUGAUACUCGUCCGUAUUGGAUUGAUUCACUCGUCCGUGUUAAUCCUCUUUGCAAUACUCGUCCGCAUUGACCUCAACGCUCGUCCGUGUUACUAAACCCCACUUGGUAUUCGUUUGUAGCGGCAUCCAUCAGUCGUAUGUGUGGACCUUACCCUCUUUCUUAACCUUUUGUUCAAAAGACCUCUUUUCCAAUACAGAGGAGCCGCUGCUACCUAUUGUGCGAGAAAAUCGUAUAUCCCCAGCCAACACUUUAUUUGCCUCUGUGAAAUCCUGUGGGAAUACCUCGAUCACCUGUUACAUGCCAAAACAUGACAGGGGAGGCAAGAAAAGAAUGAAAAAGAGAUGAAAACAGAAAAUGAAAAAAGAAAGAAUAAGAAAAAAGAAGAAGCUAAGAGAAAGACGAAAAAAAUAAUCAAUCAUCAAUCAUGCUGCAUUAGCAUAUUGCAUACGUCAUGCAUAUCUAACCUCUCAUUACCCAUCUACCACAUGACAUUCCAAUUCCCAUCAGCUUCCCUGCACAAAGACCUACUUGUUCAUCCCAAAUCCCAGUGAAGGAGUUCUUUGUGACCUAUCUUCACACUUCAUUUGUUCCUGGCGGGAAAAUUUCCUUAUAUUCUAGUAUUUAAUACUCUCAUACCUUCAUUGUCCAAACACCGUUGUUAUCCGUACAUUCAGGUUCGAGAAGAUUAAAUAGGGGCAGCUGUCAUACCCCAAAAUUUGCCUUACCCUUCACAAAGUUCAUUUAGGUCACUAACCCUAGUCAUAUGCAUGUCUUUAUAUCAUUCAUUUCAUCUGCAUAGCCAUUUGUAUGAUACAAAAGGGCAGGUAUCUUAGAUUCUGAGCUUUGUGCUUACACUUGGUGGAAGCUAAGUCUCCUAUACGGAUGAAGGGGGCUUAAUCGAUCAAACCCUAAUCGGAGGUGGCUCUUGAGGUUUAGGUGUAUUCCUAUCAUUGGUAACUCAACUUUGGCUAAGUGGUGAAGCAAAACCCUAAUCUUGGGAUCCUCACUUGAUCAUGGUUUCCACGAACUCUAAUGGUAUACAACGCUCUAUAGAUGGUCUCCAAAACCCUAUCUAUUGGGUCUUUCAUCAUUCCAUUGAGUGUGCCUUUCUCAACAACCUCCUGGUCAGGAGUCGUGCAUGUUGGUUUCUUGGGUUUGAUUCCAUAUAUCACUUGUUUCAAUGUGCAUCUCGUGCUUGUCCGUACCCGGUCAUCCGAUCAUUUGGUCAUUGAACAUUUAAUUUGUAUUCCUUUGUUUCAUUUGGGGUCUUAGUUGAUAUUUAAUUCAUAGGUUGUGUAUGGAUUUUAUCCCGUUAUAUGUCUCGAUUCAUUCCAUUUCAAGUAACCUAGUCAUUUCUUAAGUCAAUUUGCUCAACUAGCCAAUUUCAUUCAUGUUCGUCCAUAAAGAUAGUCAUUACAUUCAAAAAAGGUGCAAAACGAUGUAUAACGUAUUGCAAAACCCAUUUUUGGAAGUUUUCGUUCUGUGAGUCGACACAACACCCACGAGUACGAACAGGUCGACCCACAGAUCGACCUAGUCCUGGGGAAUUUGUAUGCGUUGACUCAUCCAGGCUUUGCAUUGACUCAUUCCUCAUUCUUCUAUAAACCAAUUCACCGCGGGUCCGAGCAGGUCGACUCAUUUCUGGGGAAUCUGGUGUGCAUCGACUCAUCCACCCUUUGCAUCGACUCACUUAUCAUUCUUCUGUGAACCAAUUCGUCGUUGGUCCGAACAGGUCGACCUGGAGCUCGACUCAUCCUGGAGAAUGCUCUAUUUAAGUCGACUCAUCCCCUAUUUGAGUCGACUCAACCUGUUUCUUGCUGCUGAAAUACUGCAAAAUGCAAAUUCUUGCCAUGCCCGCACAAUCACAUUGAUUCACACUCUGCAUUAACUCACAAUUGUGAGUUACUCCAAUAAAUAGCAGGUCAUUAGCCAACAUUAAAGCUUAAUUUCAUUCAAGUUAACCUGCAAUAACCAGUCAUAGAAACCAUUUGAACACAUUCCCCAAAACCAACCAACUAACUUCCAACUUAGUGAGUUAACCGACAAAACUCAUUGAGUUCAUCCCAACUAACUCCCAACCUCUUUUAACUAACUCCAAGCCUUAGGGAUCCCAAGCCUAAUCCCUAUAAAUUCCCAUCUUCACCAUCAUUUGAAGGUCUCUCCACUAUUCACUUCAACUUUCACUACUUUCACAUUUUCUGCAAACAUCACCUUCAACCUUUCUCACUUCAUCUUCCCUAUUUCUUCACCCUACACCAAAGCUCAAACUACCAUUGGAGCAAGCUUCACAUUGAAGCUUGUUAUCAAUUGAGGUAAAACUCUUGUACUCAACAAUCACCCCUGCACUCACCGACUCAACAUCGAUAAUAACGAUCCGGUUCAGAAUUUUUUUGGAGUUGAUUCUUGAAGGAUAAGAGUUCACAGUAGAAGCGGGAGAUCCAAGGUUCAACGUAGCAUACAUCUGUUUUUCUCCUCUUCAUCUUCAUCACUCCCGAAUUUCAACAAGUCCCAAGACAAUCCUCCGUCUUGCAGGUUGGUGAAUCUUUAUCUCUGUCUAACCGUUGAUAUCACCAUGUAGCUUGCAUAGGGGAGAAUCAAAACCCCAAGGUUCGGUGGUUUGAUUCUUCGUCACCUCCAUCUUCAUUAGCUCUAAGAUUUUUUUGCUUAGGAUUCUUGAUGUUAACUGCUUAAUUUCCUGAAUUUGUUGAGCUGUAAUUAAGAUAAAGAUUAGGAUAUGAGAGUUGGAGAUAAGUAAGAAUUUGGAGCCUUUUUCCUUGAAUCCGGCCAACUCCGCCGCCUCUGGCGCGGUGGUGCCGGAACUCCGGUGGUGGUUCUGUUUUACCUUUAUGUUGGGAUUGUUUGACUGGUCCAAGGAGUGUUCACUUCAUACCAUUCAUUGCCAUGUGUAACAUUAACAUGCAUGUUGAUAAAAAAAAUCGUAUUCAUUAUUGGUGGUGAAUUCUUGCUAACUGUGUUGUUUAAGCCUUAGGCUAAGCUACUGUUCAUCUUGAUCACGAUAGCCUCGUAAUUGAUUAGUCGAUUCUAAUUCCAAUUCUAUUCUCGUAAUUGUGUAUGAAAUAGUUUUUAAUUCCUGUUUUUGGGAUUUUGGAGUCACAUAAUUGUAGAGGUAAAUAGCUUAAUUCAUGUUCAAUUAAAUAUUAAGAUUAGGUAAUUAGUUAGGAAUUAGGCUUAAUCAUGUGCAUGUUAGACUAAUUUCUUAAUUUUUCCAAAUAUUGUUUUCACAUGAUCAACCAUUAUAGGCUUAGAAUUUCAUUUGGUUUACGAUGCUAAUUUCCAUGUACAUGAGUAAUCUCACUUUGACUAGAUUACGUUUCAUUUGUGGUUAAGGGCUGAACUGAAAAAUCCAUUUCAUUUUAAGUUCAUAUAGGUUUGUUCAUCAUGAUCAUCAUAUCACACCAUGCUAUUAUCAUACCCUCCCAUUCAUUUGAAUCGGAAUUUUAAUUCCUUCUUAUUUGAUGCAUACUAACCGGUGUUGUUUUGUGGCGACAUGCGAAUAAGAGAUCUCAACACUAUCCAAGUCCCUUUUAUUUUUAUUCGUUAGUUUGUAGUAUGCGAAGUGUCAUGCAACUUGUAUGGUUUAGGCAUGGCACAUGAGUUGUAAAUUGUAUUUUCCUUUCAUGCCUUCAUGUUGUAUUAUGUGGAUCCAUCCCCCCAUUAUGGGUUAAAUGUCCCUCUCCCCCUAGUCAUGUAAUAUCUUAGAUUUACUGCUUUCUAGUUACUUCACCAGGCAUGUUAAUAACCAAGAUAAAAUACAAAACGAUAAACAAAGCAUUUUCGAAAGAAACAAAAGGUACUUGAUUCAACGUCAAGUUUUUUUUUCCGAAUAAAACUCACACCAUUGCAACGCAAACACUCGAUUUGACGCCAAGUAUUCCCCACCCUUUCUUUCCCAUCUUAUCUCCUCAAUCGACCACUAUUUCAAAAUCAAUAAGCAAACCCUUGAUCCAACGUCAAACGGUCCUUUUUCAAAUCAAAUUCAAAAACACAAUAAAUACGAUUAGGAUUGUAUGCCACGAGCCUUAAGUGGUAAAGAAGAGAUGAGAAUGGAACUUUCCUACACUCGUUCUAAAUAGUUCGAACACAAGACGUUUGGCUUGGUAGUUUGAGGUAUUCACCUUUAUCCAUAGUCUUUAGUUCAAUCCGAAAUCAAUAACACUUUCGCAAAACAUAAACACAAUCCAACGCAUUCAAACCUUUUGUUUGAGCCUUAGGGCGACAGAAUCGAAAACCCUUCUUCAAGGUAAUAAAAAUCAACCAACCAAACAAACAUUUUAAACCCACGAACUACGGGGCUCUGAUUUCUCACUUCAACAAGUGGGCAUGCGUAGGCACAAGGAUCCAAAUCCUUGGAGAGCACACAUUUAAAAUCUACCUCCACUCCGCAAACCUUUGGUAAGCAAAGAUUCGAUAAACAACAUCUACGUAAGCGUAAACAUUCAAUAAACAACAUCCAUGUAAGCGCAAACACCCUAGAUGGUUCCUAUGGAGUACCAUAGAUGUAAGGGGUGCUAAUACCUUCCCCUUGCAUAACCGACUUCCAAACUUGUUCGUGGUUGCGAUGACCAUUCUUUGGGGUUUUCUCGAUAUUUUCCCUUUCCUUUGGAAUAAAUAAAAACCGAUGGCGACUCUGUAUUUUUCGCGUAGCGACAAGGGUCAAAUCAGAUAACCACUUCUUUACAAGAUGACCAAGUAAAUGAAGUGGCACAAACUCAGAAGAUGGGAUGGUCAACAAGGGCUAAAACUCAAUCAAUUAGGUUAAUUGACUAUGAAUGAUUUUGUGACCAAACCAUAAAUGAAAAUGGUAACGUGAUUGAAGAAGUAAUGAUAACUGAAUGUGAGCCAAUUAACCUCAAUCAAGACCUGAAAGACAAAAAUUGGCAAGAAGUUAAGAAGGAAGAAGUCAAGGAAAUUUUGGAGUUGGUAAACAACUCAAGCAAGAGAACCAUAGAUGUAAAAUGGGUCCAUAAGCUGAAGCUCAUACCAAAUGGUGAGAUAGCCAAGUAUAAGGUAAGGCUAGUAGCAAAGAGGUUUCUUCAAAGGUCAGGAAUUGAUUUUAGUGAGGUCUAUGCACCAUUUUCCAGACUUGAAACUAUAAAAGUUGUGGUGGCCAUUGCAACAUCCAAAAGGUGUAAGAUACAUCAAUUGGAUGUAAAGUCAUCUUUUCUAAAUGGGCCAUUAGAGAAUGGUGUAUAUAUAAAACAACCAAUUGGUUUGAGAUCAAAGGAAAAUAAGAAAAAUUGUAUAUGAUGAUAAAAGUACUAUAUGAAGUGAUAACUUUUACAUGAAUUUAGGAUUCAACAAAUGCACAUUAGAACCUGGAAUAUAUGCGAAAGGCUCAAGUGAAUAAGAUCAAAUAAUUCUAUGCAUAUAUGUGGAUGAUAUCUUGAUAAAAUUAUCAAAUUAAAUUGAAGUUUCAAAGUUCAAGACUAACAUGGAGAAUGAAUUUGAGAUGUCAUAACUAGGAAACAUGGCUUAUUUUCUAGGUAUGGAGUUUGUAAACAUAAAAUAUUGAUUUUUCUUGUACCUAAAGAAAUAUGUAGAAGAUAUCUUGGAGAAAUUCAACAUGAACAAUUCUAACCCUGCAAUUAGUCUUAUGGAAGAGGCUCUUUGGUUUCUCAUCAAAAUAUUUAAGUUAUAUCUUCCUUUGGUUAACUUUGCAAGUGUUUUUAGAAGAUCACAAGUUUCAUUUUUUAAGGUAUUACAUUCAUUUCACAUGUCAGAUUCAUUUUUUUUUAUAAAAGUGGAAGAGUUUUGGACUUGAUCAUUUUGUAUUUCUCUAAGAUUUUCUAUUUAUUUUUCAAGGAUUUUAAUUUUAGAUUCAAGAGAAGAAAUAAUAUCCUAGGAUAUAGAGACAAUUUCUUCCAAUUUACUUGUUUCUUUUGUUAUCUUCUUACAAAUGUGGAAAAAAGUUGAUAAGAAAAGUAAGAGGUUAUCUUAUCAUCUUGAUGAUUUUCCAUGAGACAAAUGUUGGCUUCUUCUUCGUCAUCUGAAGAUUCCAUAUCUUUAUCCUUCCAUGCAAUGUAAGGUUUCUUGCCCUUCUUAUAAGUUUCUUAUAUUUCUUCUGAUUUUGAUUUUCCUUUUAAGAAAACAUAAAGUUUGAUCUGGUGUAUCCUUUAUUUUCACAUAGGUAACAUGUGGGAUCGAAUGAAGCUUUAUCCUCAUCUUUUUCCUGUUUCUCUUUUUGUUAUUUCUCAUGCCCUAUGCAGGACCGACCCAAUCAUAUCGGAGGCCCCGUUCUAAUUAAAAAAAUGGGCUCAAUUUUUUUUAAAAAUAUAAUUAUAAUAAUUAAAAAAAUAUAUAUCAAAAAUACAAUUAUGUAUUAAUUAAAAAUAAAUUUAAUUAUAAUUAUUUUGAGUUCUGAUCAAUCUUGAUUUUUAUAUGUAUUGAGUUUUUAUCAUAAUAUUUCUUUCAAUUAUUGAGUUUUUUUAAUAACAUUUUAUUUAUUUUUAUUAAUAUUUAUAAAAAAAAUGAAAAUUUUAAAAGUUGGGGCCCUCUAAUAUUUGGGGCCCUGUGUUGCAGCACAUGCUACACUUGCACAGGGCCGGCCCUGGCCUUAUGAGUCUUUUAAAGUUUUCGACUAUAAGGGACAUGUCACCAUGAGAGUCAGAAUCUUCCACUUUGAGCACUAGGCUAUUGUUUUCUUUUCUCCUUCCUCAUAUAUGAAUGGACUAUUUAGUUCAAUCUCGAGUUCCUUCAAUUGACGAAAAAAAAGGUGUGUGUGUUCAUAAUUGCUAAAUCCCUAGAUUCACAAAUCAUAACGAAUUUAGGUUGCCAACUAUUGUUUAAGUACCUAAACAAUUUCACAACUAAUUCCUCAUUUGAAAAUAUUUUUUAUAGAGUUCUCAAAUGACUCAGGAUAUGCAUAAACCGUGUUUGCAUCUUAUUAAUGUUUUGUUCAUGUUUUAUCAUUAAAAGUUCAUACUCCUAAAUUAAUAUGCCAAACCUUGUCCACUUUAACUAAAUAGUCCCUUCGUGGUUACUUUAGAGGAUGUUCACAUUUUUUUUAGUCUUGCAGUGAGAAACUUACAAAAAUUCAUCAAGACCAAGAGUGGUAGUGAUGACAAUUUUUGUUUUCAAAAUGCGCUGCACAUUUUCUUUAUCAUCUUUGGUCCAAUCCUUUUUUCAAGUUUGUUCACUACAACACUAUCAACAUCGUGUGUAUGAACACUACCACAAUCCAUCCCUUUUAUCCCCCUAUCCUAAAAAAAUAGUUUUCAUAAGCUGAACACAAAAAUUGAGUGGAUAUUUUAUAUAACUUUUCCAAUCUGAGUUUUAUAACCGAGCAAUAGUGGCACAACACUAAUAUAACUCUUUCCUCACAAGAAAAUUUCAUUCAUAAGGCACUAAGGAAACUUCGGUGAAAAAGAAUAUAUAUAUAUAUAUAUAGAGAGAGAGAGAGAGAGAGAGAGAGAGAGAAGAGAAGAGAUAAAUUAUAGAAAAUUAGGAAAAUCCCAAAUUCUAGUGUGAAAUUAAGUGAGGAGAAACCUCCUUUAUAUAGGAAAAAAAUUGGAUUUAUAUGGAAAUAAUCCAUGUGCCUUUUAAAUGACCUAAUCAAUUAGAUAUUUGAAAUAAUAGAUCAAUUUAUGCUGAAAAAAGAAAGUUUUAAUAUAUAGUCAUUACUAAUUAUAUUUUCCAAAAAAUUACAGGGUGUGCGUGGUCCCCCUGCAAGGACAUGGAGAAUUUGAGGCCCUAAUAGGUAUAAUAUAGUUUUGAGGGGCGAGGGCUAGCUCACGAAGGUGACUAGCCUUGUACCAUGGUUUUUGAGGUUGUUUGAAGGACCAAAUCACAUGAGGUGAAAUGUCGUGUUGGUUGUCGACACUGUUGGGUGCAGGCGGGUGGUUGAAUUGACGAUGUUAGGACUACUCGGAGCGUAGCACCGUCCAAGCAAUAAUGGAUAUGUAUGCCUUGAUCUUCUCUAUCCCCUUGAGGGAUAGUGUAUUUAUAGGGUCCUCGAUAUCUAGGGUGUUUGCAUCCUGAACAUGGUCUUAACUGCUCCUCGCUUACUAGGAAGUUAUUGACUGCCGAUAUUCUUGAAGUCAGUGAGGAAUCUCUCUCAUGUGUCCCCUAUGUAUGUUGGACCUCCUAAGAGAAUCCCUUAAAUUCCUUUUGGGUGGUCCAUCUGCUGGGCGAGAUCGUCCUAGUAUAUGACUUCAUAAAUAUAACAUUACACAGUCUCUUAAGCACAAGGGAUUUUCGUUAAAGGGAGAAGUGUUUAAUAUUUGAGAUGGGUAAUAAUAUAUUUUUACUCUUUUGUUUAUUAUUUGUGAUUAUUAAUAUAGUUAUUAAGAUGAAAUUUUCAGAUGAGUAAUUCAGAGAGGAAUUACAAUGUUGGCCUCAUAUUGGCGAAAUUAUGAUUUAGAGAGAAAUCUUGAGUAUGAGUUUUGAGUAUAUUUUCUGUUGUUUUGAGUUUAUUGAAUUCUGUUGUCAUGUUCAUGCAUACAUGUAUAUUGGAGUUAGGUAAGACUUAGGUCCGGUGAGGUCAGGAUCAGAGAGGAACCAUGACAAUCUCAAAUUCAUAGAGGAACACGAUUCAAAGAGGAACCAAAGACAUGGAUAAAUUAGUAACACACCUAUGAUACCAUAUUGGAGGAGAAGUAUACUGCAUUAUGCAUUUUUAUUAUAGUUAUUGUUGUUGUUGUGAACUUUAUGUGGGAAUGAUGAUAGAUGUUGUUAUGACUAACUUGCUAUUUAAUUUUAUUGUUAACAUCUGUAAAGUUAUUCUCACCCCAUUUUAUUUAUUUGUGGUGUUUUGUACUCUCUUGGGGUACAAAUAAUCAGGUAAAGUAGUAACUGCUUUAAGCUGGAGGAUGGCGUGAAGGCCUCUUCGUUUACUUGUUGUUUUCUAAUUCUUUUGUUUAGUACCUUUUGUCGCUCUGAUAAUGUAACAUAUGGGGUAUGGCCGUUGUUUCCUUUUAUUUUUCUAAUUAUUGAGUUGAGAUCAAACUGAUAUUUUAUUUGAGUAAUUUUUUUUGAGAUCAUGAGAAGGUAUUGUUAUAUGUUUUAUAAUUCUGCUGCAAUAUGUUUAAAUGGAUGAAAGAUGUUUUAUUUUAAGAAUACGUGACACCCUUUGGUGACAAAUACUCUAAUUUAUUUUAUAAAUUACGCGCCAGGUUUAGGGUGUUACAAAAGGGGUCUUGUUGAACUGGGGAAACAUAAUCUGUUGGGUGGUGACAAAGUCCAAAAGCUUGAAUUUUGUGAACCUUGUGUGUUUGAUAAAUCCUGCAGAGUGAAGUUUAACAAAGGAAAACAAAGAACACAUGAAUCCCUUUGUUACAUUCAUGCGGAUCUUUGGGGUCUAGAAGGAGUCUUUCACACUCAGGUGCAAAGUAUUUUCUAUCCAUAGUUGAUGAUUAUUCCAGAAAGUUAUGGGUAUUCAUUCAGAAGACUAAGGAUGAAAAUUUUGAAAAUUUCAAAAGUUGAAAGACUCUGGUCAAAAAUUAGAUUGGCAAGAAGGUCAAGUGGUUGCGAACCUAUAAUGGCCUUGAGUUAUGCAAUAAAGCUUUCGAUAGUUACUGUAGUAUGUAUACUAUUGCAAGGCACAAGACUACUGCGGGUACUCCUCGGUAAAAUGGCUUGGCUGAGAGAUUCAAUCGAACAAUCCUAGACAGGGUUAGAUGCAUGUUGGUUAGUGUAAGAUUGAAGAAGGUGUUUUGCGCUGAGUCUGCAGUGACUACAACAUACCUGAUAAAUAGGAGCCCCUCGAUUGCCUUGGGAAUGAAGACACCUAAAGAAGACUGGUCGAGACUUCUACCUAAUCUCGACAGACUUAGAGUAUUUGGCUAUUUAGAAUAUGCUCACAUUAGGCAAGACAAGGUUAAACCUAGAGCUAUGAGAUGUAUGUUUCUUGAAUACCCUGAAGAAGUCAAAUCUUAUAGGUUGUGGUGCAUAAAGUUAAGUAACAAGAGAUGCAUCACAAGUCGAGAUGUAGUUUUCAGUGAAUCAGAAAUGGCGUUCAACAAAACUGAUGAUUUUGGUCGAAAUACGAAGAUCUUUGUACAUGAGUUGGAACAUGAAGAGAUUCUUAUUGAGGUAGAGCGUAUUGAUGCUGAAUUGCACAACUCAAAUGAAGUUGAAUAAGAAGCAUAAGUUGCUGAUGAAGAUAAGGAGAAUGAUAAUUACUAUCUGAUGGUAAGAGACAGGUCUACUAGAGUCAUCAAGCCACCUCAGAGACUUGAUUAUGCAUAUCUCAUAACUUUUGCCUUAAUCUAUGCAAGUGAGGUUCUUGAUGAAGAACCUAGAUACUACAAGGAAGCUAUAAGGAGUCAAAACAAGACUAAAUGGAUGAAAUCCAUGGAUAAUGAUAUGAAAUCUCUUCAUGAUAACCAUACUUAGGAGCUGAUCGAGAAACCUGCUGGAGCCAGGUUAGUCAGUUUUAAGUGGAUUUUCAAGGUUAAGAAAGGAAUUGAAAGAGUGAUGUUGAAGAGAUUUAAGGAAAGGUUGGUUGCUAGGGGGUUCACUCGGAAAGAAGGAGUCGAAUUCAAUAAUGUGUUCUCUCCUGUUGUAAAGCAUAUAUCCAUUAGAAUGUUGUUACCCAUGGUGGAAAAGUUUGACCUAGAACUUGAACAAAUGGAUGUGAAGACCUCCUUAUUGUAUAGUGAUUUAGAUGAAACAAUCCUGAUGAGGCAAACUGAAGGGUUUGCAGAAAAAGGAAAUGAAGAUUAUGUGUGCAACCUGAAUAGGUCUUUAUACGGCCUGAAACAAUCUCCUCAUCAAUGGAAUAGGAGAUUCGACAAGUUCAUGACACACAUAGCUUUCACUAGGAGCUAGUUAGACCAUUGUGUUUACUUCAAAUUUUGAUCUGGAAACCCAUUUAUUACUUUGUUUCUUUAUGUGGAUGACAUCCUCAUACAAAAAAACCAUGGAGAGGAUGUUAUGAAGGUGAAGGCUGAAAUCGAUAAGGAGUUUGACAUGAAGGAUAUGGGAGUUACCACCAGGAUUCUUGGGAUUGGCAUUCGAAGAGAUACAAAAUAGUCGAGAUUAUGCUUAUCUCAAGAGACAUACUUGAAGAAGAUUCUCGAUAAAUUUGGUAUGUCGAAUUCAAAUCCUAUUGUAACACCGACAAAUCCUCAAUUCAAGCUGAGUACGACUCAAAGUCCUAGUAUUGAGGUUGAAAGAGUCUAUAUGAAUAACACUCCAUAUCCUAGUAUUGUAGGUUCUUUGAUGUGUGUUAUGGUUUGUACGAGAACAGGCAUAACGAAUGGAGUGAGCCUUGUAAGCGGGUAUAUGAUCAAUCCUGGGAAGGCACACUAGAAAGCUUUAAAGUGGAUUCUAAGAUACAUAAAAGGAUCCCUGAGUAGGGUCUUGAUUUAUGAUGGAGCCAUGAGUGAUGGUGAAGCCGAAGUCAGAGGACUUGUUGACUCUGACUAUGCAGGAUGUAUGGAUACCAAAAAGUCUCUUUCUGGAUAUGUUUUCACUAUGUUUGGUACAACAAUCAGUUGGAAAGUUUCUCUUCAGAAGUUCGUUGCCUUAUCAACCAUUGAAGCUAAAUAUAUUGCCAUCAUUAAAGUUAUGAAAGAAGCAUUAUGACUUGAAAGGAUUGUUAAGGAACCAGAACUUCAAGGUCAAGCUAUCACUGUUAAAUAUGAUAGUCAAAGUGUCAUACAUAUGUCGAAGAAUUCAGCCUAUCAUGAGAGAAGAAAGAACAUUGAUGUUAGGUUGCAUUUCGCCAGGGAGAAAAUUGAAAGUGGAGAAGUCAAAGUGAUGAAGGUUUCAAUAGAUCAUAAUGAUGCAUAUAUGAUCACCAAGUCAUUUCCAAGUAGCAAGGUAUUUCACUGUAUGUAGUUGUUAAAGCUGCAUGAUGAAAUCUAGUUUGUUCCCUUAAUGUUGUAAAGUUUGUUCUAAGAUGGGGAUUUGUAGUAUUUUGGAUCGAACUCUAGUCUCGAUAGGGAUAACUUCAUGUUUUGACAGGAGUUAUGCAUGCUGUAGUCGAAGUCUGUUCAAGCAUGCAGAAGUCGAAGAUGUGCAUGUUGUAGUCGAAGCUUGUUCUAGCAUGUAGUUGUAUAAGUUAGCUUGCUAGUUAAUCUAUCUUAGUGCUUAAGUAGCUUGUUGGUUAAGCUAGCCUGUAGUCUAUAAAUAGAAUGCUCCCUCAGAUUGUUGAGAGAGGGUUAAGUUUGAUUGAUAUUUGCUUGUAAAAAAAUUGUGAAAAUAAAUAGUAAAACGGUUUUAACUAAUUCUUAUUCUUGUUCUUCUCUCUUCUCUCUCUAUCGUAAAUCGAAAAAGGAUUUCUUGUGUUUGUUUAAGAAAUUCAAUAUUUCUCAUAAUUGUAUUCGUUACUAGUGCAGUAUUUGUUACAACAACAACAACAACAAUAAUAAUAAUAAUAAUAAUAAUAAUAAUAAUUAUUAUUAUUAUUAUUAAUAAAAAUACUCCUUUCUAUCUUAGAAAAAUUGUAUUCGUUACUAGUGCAGUAUUUGUUACAACAACAACAACAACAAUAAUAAUAAUAAUAAUAAUAAUAAUAAUAAUUAUUAUUAUUAUUAUUAAUAAAAAUACUCCUUUCUAUCUUAGAAGGUUGAAAAUAUAGUUUUAAAAUAUUAAAUUUUAAUGAUUAGCAAUUUUUUUAUAUUACCAUUUUAAUAAACAUAUUAAAGAAAAAAAAUACAACACAUUAAUCUGCUUAAAGGAUACAAAUAUUUUAUUGUUUCCAACACAACCUUCUCUUUAUCUACAAUAAAUGAGUCAAAUAAUAUUCUAUUAUUAUAUGUAAAGAGAAAAAAAUAUGACUAAAACUCUCAAGUUUGUGUAUGUCAUGAUUUUAUUUUUAUUUUUAGUUGCAAGGAAUGAUGGAGCCGGUAAUUUAUUUUCUCAUCAUUUUCAAUUUUUCUUCUAUAAACUUUAUCUUUUAUAUUAUGUUAGUAACAUUAUUUUACCAUUUUUUUUUCAUUACAGAAUCACGACUAAUUAUUUGUAAAACAGAUGUCGAUUGUCUAGAUAGAUCCGAGUUUCACAAGUAUAUAUGCAUUAGAAAAAGAUGUAGAAUUUUUUUAGUGCCAUUCUAGGAUAAAAUAAACUUAACAAAAAAAAACUUCUAAUUAAAUUAAAAUUUCUAUACUAAAAUCAAUCAACAAGAUUAUCAAGAAUAUCAAGAGUACGCAAUAUCUGAAACAUUUUUUUUCAUAUGAAAUAUGCAUAUGUGUUGCGAAAGAAGGAGCAUCAGAAAUAUCAAGAAUUAAAUCUUAUAUUUAUUACUAGAAGAAUGUCUUUUCUUUGAAGAAUACUUGACCAUCUAUUGUCAAAAUGAUUAAUGAGAUAAAAUACUUGUUUUUCUUUGGAUUCUAUGAUGAAUGAUUCUUUCAUAUAAGUUUAUUUGCGAAGGUCAACUUGUGGGAAUUCUAACUAUUUGGUUUGUACAUUAGUGUUAUUGUUAGUCCAUUUGCAUUUAAAUAAAGAAACAUUGAAUACAACAUAAUCAAUCUUCUAAAUCUCCUCAAUAAUCCUAAAGUACGUUCUGGAUACAACAUAAUCAAUCUUCUAAAUCUCCUCAAUAAUCCUAAAGUACGUUCUGGAUGCCAUAAAAAAUUAUUUUCCUUUGAAUUAGAGAAGUACAUGAACUCUAUCUCAACCAUAACCCCACUAUUUUGCACUAUAUUACAAUUAUCCUUUGAUUUUGUAUAAAAAGAUAUGGCAACCCAAAAAGAAAAUUGUAAAUAUAAAAAAUUUAAAGAAAAACAACACAUUGUGGUGUUUCGUUUUCAAUUUUUUAUCAUUCAUUAUUUUUUUAUAAUAUAAGCCAUUUGUUGCCAGGGUUGCUAAAACUCAUCGAGGGAAAAAAUAGCUUAAAAAUAAAUAAAAAAUAAAACUAAUGAUGUUAUAAUUUGAAGUGUGUCCGUGAGAGACAUUUCCUCGUGGUUGUUAAAGAUGAUUGAAAAAAAAUUGAAUUAAAAAAAAACGUCACUUUUAUAAUGAAUAAAACAAAAAAUUGAUGGUGUUGCGAAUUGAAAUGUAUCCCUGAAAAAAUCUAUGAUUGAUUAAAUUGAUUGAGGGUGAAAGAGACUUAAAAAUUAAUAUCAAAGAGUAUCGCCUAAAGAUUUUUCUUUUAUUUCAAUGCAUUAAUUGAUCCAAAAAGUUCGUCAAAAAAAUGUAUAAUUCAUUAUUGUGAAUAAAAUCCCCCCUUAUCUUAUAAAAUAUCAAGAAGUAUGAAAUUUAAAAUAUCAAGAAAUCUCAAAAACAUCUAUAGAAAUAAUUUUUUUUGGAAGUGCACACAUUUUUCGAAUACAAUCAUCCCAAAUGCAAUUGGAUAAAGUGCUUCAUCAAACAAAACUAAUAUUAUGAAAAGAUGCAUUAACAAGACCAUCCGAACAAAAAUUCCCUUUUCAAAAGAUAUGUGACACUUUAAAACAAAAACUUAUAAUUAGAUUGAGAUAGCUGGAUCAACAAUUUUGAAGGAUCCAAAGCAUAUUUUUAGGAUUAGAAAAAACUUGAAACACUAACUGAAAAUAACUUUUAUGUCAUAAUUUAAGCUAAUCGUUAGCAUAAACUAUUUCUACCGCUAACAUGACAAUAAUCAGUUAUGCAUUGCAUUUUCAAAAUUAUUGAUACCAAGUGGUCGAGAAAAAGCAUCUAAAAAUACUUUUAACUUGUUCAAGACCCCUCAUUAAGCAUUGUAUUUGAUGACAUGAUUGGCGACUAAUUCCCAUUAAAAUAAUAGUUUUAAUCAACUACAACAACAAUCCUUAGUUUUUCUUUUAGUCAAGCAUGCGAAUUUCUAAACUGUACUUCAUUUUGGAUUUUCUCAAAAUCUUAAAUUUUUUUUUCCUCCCAUAAUCUUAAUUUCUCUUUUCUUCUCCAAUUUAUUUUUCUUUUCUUUUUGCAAUCAAGGUGUGGUUGAUUCACAGUUUUUCAUAAGUUUGAUGAACUUUCAACAUCAAAAAUUUGACAAAAUUCCAACAAUUGUCCUGCCCUUAAGAAUACUUUCCUUGUACUGCAAGACGCACUCCUUAAUGUCUUUAUCCAGGUUCUUCUGGGCAUGAUGUAGUCAUCAUCAAAAUACUUUUGUGAUGCAAUACCAUAAAACAUGGCACACAAUGACCCAAGUUUCUUGCCACAAACUCUCCUCCUACUAGUUAUUGUUAAAGUUACUGACUACUACAAAUAACAUAUGUAAUGUCGAAAAUGAAAUGAAUUUCACCUCAGUUACAAUGUCGAGGUAACGAAGGAUGACAUGAAAAAUGAGAACUUUACCCCUUGACUUAAAAAUAGCCGAGAGAUAAUUUAAAUGGUCAUGGAUUCGAAACCCAACAAUAUAUUUUUUAUAUUUUUCAAACUAGCAUCAUAUACCUCUCGGUUUAAUAACAAAACCGAGAAUAUAUAUAUAUAUAUAUAUAUAUAUAUUUAAUAUAUAUAUAUAAUAUAUAUAUAUAUAUAUAUAUAUAUAUAUAUAUAUAUAUAUAUAUAUAUAUAUAUAUAUAUAUAUAUAUUAUAUAUAUAUCAUUACAUUGUUUACACAUAAUAUUAAUAAAAUAAUUUGCUUACAAACUAUAUUGUUUACACAGAAUAUUAAAGUAAAAAUAUUAUUCUUUAUCGUCAUCGUUGUCGGUGAAGAAUAAAUGAUGGAUAUAUUUAAAAAAAACAAAUAUUAGGGAUCCUCGUUUCAUUGAUCUAAAGGAAAAUCAAAUACCAAAUGCAAUAUAUUUUCUAUGACUUUCGCAUUAAUUUGUUUCUGAUAUAAAACAAAAAAAAAGGUUAAAUAAAUAAAAUAAAUAUUCAUUUAAGAGAUUAGGUAAGAAUACAAACCUUGAACCAAUUUUUUCCGGUACUUGCAAUCUAUCACAUAAAUCUUUGGCAAAGUAAAUACAUCUCACCAACCACAUAUUAAAUAAACCUAAAUUUUUUCUGCUCUUGCGCAAUCUAUCACAUUGAUACUUUUACUUUGUAAAAUCUCAUGACACUCUGAUUAAACAUAAAGGGUUUCACAACAACCUUUAGGUUUCUUGUGAUUCACUACUAUCAAAUUUUAAUAUUCAGAAUACUUUUAUAAUGAGGAUUGUAGGUUUCACAAAGAUCACUAAUGACAGUGUCUUGAGCGUUGAUACUUAUUAAAUAGAGGAUCAAGAUUUGUUUAAGGACAGUGAAAAAAUUGAAAAACACGUUAAUAUUUUAUCUCGGUUAUUACUCAAAAUCGGGGUAAAUGUGUUUCUUUUUAAAUAAAAAACAAUAAAAUACGUUCCGACCCAAACGUCACAUACUUCUCGGUUUUUGUUAAAAAUCGAGGGGACACAGUUUUUUUUAUAUUUAUAUUGUUUACACAGAAUAUUAAAAUAAACUAUUUAAACAAAUCAAGAGUUUGACUAUGGAUUUUUGGAGAACAACUCAUCUUUUCAAAUUUCUGAUAAGUUAUCUGUUUUAAAUAAAUGACAUUUUUUUCUAUACUUUCAAUCCAUCAUAGAGAGAUUUCAUUAUGUUAAGCAAAUGUUUGCAUGACAAAUGCUUUUACAUGAAAUAGAAAUUGAUUAUGGUGUUUAUGAAUAAAUUUUUCAAUGUUUUCAACUGAAGAAAAUAAUAACUUUUUUAAUAUUUUCUUUGAUUGACAACAUAGGAAGGUUAUUACAUAAAUACAACAACAUCAAUAUCAUUAUGUGAGAUAGAUUGCAAAAUAUUUUAUUCCGUACCAAAGAAUGAUGCAUAAAGACUUUGGAGCGGUUACAUAUAAGUUAAGUUUAUGAUAAAAUUUGAUUAAUGAGUGCUUUUAUAAUAAAUAUGAAAAUUUAAUCUCUCCGUUAUUAAAUAUAACCGAAGAAAUAAAUAAUUAAUUUAAAAAUAAAAAUAAAAAUAAAAAGAAAGACACUAUUUUAAAAAAAAAUGUUGAGGAUAGGAUUCUAAACAUGUUAUAAAAUACUUUUCCUUUUUAAUUUUAUUUUAAAAUCGAUGUAAUAUAUGAUAUUUAUUAAAAAAAUAUAUAAAAUAUGUCAUGUACUGAUCCUUUACCUUAAUUUUUUUAUUUAUAGGAGUGAUUUCUCAUUAUUUGAUUUGAGUUGAAGAAAAGUUUUCAAUUGUUAGCAUGAACCAACUCUUUUCGAGAUGUGUGGAACACGUUAAUAUUUUAUUUUGUGUAUGACUAUAUUGACACGUUAGUUUUUGCGUUAUUAAUGAUAAUAAUAAUAAUAAUAAUUAUUAUUAUUAUUAAACAUACCCCUUUCUAUCUUCAAAGAUAGUUUUAAAAUAUUAAAUUCUAAUUAUUUACAAUUUUUUUACUAUUUUAACAAAUAUGUUAAAUAAAUAAAAUACAUCACAUUGAUCUGCUUAAGAGACAAAAAAAAUAAAAUAGAAAUGAAAUCUUAAAACUCCCUAAGAGAUACCAAUAUUUUAUAUUUGUAGCAUAACCUUCUAUUUAAAUUUAAACAUUAUAAAAGAGUCGAAUAAUGUUCUAUUUAUUUAUUGUAUGUAAGAGAAAAAAAUAUGGGUAAAACUCUCAUGUUUGUGUAUGUUGUGGUUUUAUUUCUAUUUCUAUUUUUUGUUGCAAGGAAUGAUGGUGGCUCACGUAAUUUAUUUUCUCAUCAUUUUCAAAUUUUCUUCUAUAAACUUGUAUCUUUUAUAUAUCAUGUUAGUAAUAACAUUAUUUUACUAUGUCUUUUUUUUACAGCACGACGAUUUAUUCCUUGUAAAACACGUGCUGAUUGUCCAGAUAGUUCUGAGUUUCAAAAGUAUAUGUGCAUUGAAAGCCUAUGUAAACUUAUUAGAUUGAAGUGAAUCACUCUAGUAUAAAAUAAACUUGAUGAAAUAAAAAAGUUUCUAGUUAAAUUAAAAUUGCCUUGUUAAAAUCAAUUAACAAUUUAUGUCAACAAUGCCAAAUCAAUUGAAAAAUAAGUCAGAUAAGUAGGAAUAUUUACCGCAUACCCCACCUUGUUCCUAUAUUUUUAUAUUUUAUAAAAAAAACAUCAACUUCGUCUUUAUAUAUUUUAAAUUAAUUCAUAAUUUAAAAAAAAAAAAAAAAUUUAUUUUAUGUAUCAAAAGAUUUUAAAAAAAAUUAUGAUAGUCAAUUCUUUAAAAAAAAUUAUUUUUAUUUUGUAUAUCGAAAGAUUUUUCAAAAGAGUUCUAGUAGUUAGUUUUUAACCUUAACUUUUAUUAUGUGUAUUGAAAAACUUUGUAAAAAAAUUCGAUAGUCAAUUUUUUAAUUUUUAUUUUGCAUACCGGAAGACUUUGUAAAAGAGUUUCGAUAAUCAUUUUUUUUUAUAUUUUGUGUAUUAAAAUAUUUGCAAAAGAGUUUUGAUAGUCGAUUUUUAACUUUUAUUUUACGUAUCGAAAAAGUUUUGUUAAUCAUUUUUAACUUUUAUUUAAUGUACCGAAAGAGUUACGAUAGACAGUUUUUUAAAAUAUUUUUUAACUUUUAUUUGUGUAUCGAAAAUUUUGCAAAACAGUUCUCAUCGUCAUUUUUUAAUAUUUUUUUACUUUUAUUUUACGUACUAGAAGACUUUGCAAAGGAGUUCCGAUAGUCAUUUCAGAAAUAUUUUUUAACUUUUAUUUUAUAUACCGGAAGAUUUUACAAAAAAGUUUCGGUAGUCAAUUUUUAACAUUAAUUUUUUUAUAUAUCGGAAGACUUUGGAAAAGAGUUACGAUAAUAAUUUUUUUUUAAUAUUUUUAACAUUUAUUUUCUGUACCGAAAAACUUUGUAAAUAGUCAAUUUUUAUAUAUUUUUUAAAUUUUAAUAAAUUAUUUAUAUGAUGACAUUUUAGUUUAAAAAAAUAUAAUGUAGGGGUAGGGGAAUAACUGAUGGGGUAUGGGAUAAAAUUUUCUACAAGUAGGGAUGGUAAAACGAGUCGAACCCGUCAGACCGAUUCGUUUGACCUGCCAUUUUUGUUGGCCCGGAUCAAAGUUUUCGACUCGCUGCCUUAAGUUGGUAUGUCCCUCCUAAUUCGCUUUAAAAACGGGAUGGGCCGGGGCAAAAAAUUUCGCAGGUUUUUUGUAAAAAUAAAUUUGACUUUGAAUUAAAAUUAAAAGUAUAUCGAGGAGAUUAAUCCACUGUUUUUUUUUCUUUAUGAUAAAAAUCAAAAUUUGAAUACUUACGUCUAACAUUUCCAUGAAUUGAAAAUUUUAUUUUCGUGUUGUUUCACUUAGAUGGAUGGUGGACAUAAGUUGCAACCAUAAAGCUAAAUAAUUUAUCAAAUAGGACUUAAAAGAUUAAGAAGUAAUAAAAUAGUAAAAAAAUAUAUUAUUAUUUAAUAAAAUACUAUAACUUUUUAUAUAUUUUAUUAUAUAAUGAUUUCUUAAAAUUGUGAAUUAUUAUUUGGAAGAUAAUGAAAUAGUAUUUUUUUUUAUUAUUGUUUAAUAAAAUACUAUGAUUUUUUAUAUUUUUUAUUAUAUAAUGAUUUCUUUAAAUUAUAAAUUAUUAUUUGGAAGAUAAUGACAUGAAUAAAAAAUAAACUAAAUAUAAAAAUUUAUAAACAAAGCGGUAAAUCAAAUUGUAAAUAAACUAAUAAUUAAAAAAUUGUAAAUAAAUUAGUAGUUAAACUAAAAGGAAAAAGAAAAAAGUUUGACGGAUCGGCUCGUCAAUCUGCCAGCUUGUUAUUAAACAGGACGAGAUUGAUUUUUGAGCUCGAUCACUUAAAUUGAUUUGUUCCUCCCUAUUUUUGAAUGGAUUUAAGUGGGACGAGUCUAAAAGAGGCGGACGAUCGAUUUUGCCACUUCUAUGUACAAAUAUACAAAAUCAUCAUCAAAUAAUAAAUUUCAGUUAUAUCUACUAAGAUGUUAUUUUCAUCAAUAAUAGUAUUUAUUUAUAUUUAUACUAAUUUUUUAAUUAUAGUUUGGUAUUCUAAAAUCUUAAAAAUAAUUUAAUUUAAUUUUGCAUGUGUCGACAUGGCAACCAAUUAAAGCAUAUUGUAAAAUAUUUAAUAGUUAAAAUGAAAAAAAUAUAUUUUAAUUAAAAACUCAUAAUUAUAAUUCCAUGUCAUAAUAAUGUUACACUUUUGAGUUUUCAAACAAUUUAAAUUAUACUUCUCUUAGAUAGAUAGUCCAAUGAAUUCUUCACCAAAGCUCGUCUCCCCAAAGCCUUCGCAAUUGAUUUCAUUGCUUUAAUCCAUAAGUCCCACAAUCUUCAAACUAUCAACGAUUUUUGACUUAUCACUCUUAUUACAAUUGUUUAUAAGAUUAUCUCCAAACUAUUAGUGGGAAGAUUUAGAAAAGUCAUCGGAAAACUGGUUUCAAUGAACCAAUCUACUUUUGUCCUUGACAUAAGUUUAUCUGAUGUAAUUCUUAUUGUUAAUGAGGUAGUUAACUAUGCUCGAAGGAAUAAGAAAAAUUGUUCGUAUUUAAAGUUGACUUCGAGAAGGUCUUUAACUCAAUUUCUUAGAAUUACCUUCUUUAUGUUCUCAAGAGAAUGAAAUUCAAAAAUAUUUAGAUCAAUUGGAUUCGAGCAUGUGUUUGUUUGUGUGUGUAAGCGCGAGCAUAUGUUUGUGUUCUAAUUCAUUCUCAAUCCUUAUUAAGAUAUUCCAACAACUGAUUUCCAAACUGAGCGUGGUCUUUGGUAAGGUGACCCACUAUCCCCUUUUCUAUUCAUCCUGGCAGCAGAAGGUUGAACAUGUCUUCUGAGAUGUGUAAGCUCUUCUUUGGAUUUUAAACCUUUUAAGAUGAAGGGUAACUUGGAUGUUGAUUUACUGCAAUUCACGGAUGACAUUUUAUGCUAAGUAGUUAUCACAAAUUUUCUCUUCUAGAGAUGCUCUGACUAAAUGAAAUUUCUAAUCCACUUGUCCACCUCUUUAAUUAAAGAAAUGUGUCAAAUGCUUAUGCCAAAAAUAUAUAUUAAAAUAUGAUGUGAGUCACUUUUCAAGCCAAUUGAACUCUUAUUACAAACAAAAUAAGAUAAACCUUCUUAUAAGCAAGUGUAUAUUUAAUUUUGUAAGCAAAACCUUGCCCAUAACUAACUUUGGACUUACCAUUAAAAAUUGGGAUCCCCAAAUGAAUGAAAGGAGUGGUGUCAAUAAAAGAGCCUAAAAGCUCAACAAUUAAUUGUUGUCUCCUAUCUAAAAAUUGAACUAGAUUAAAUGAUCAAUUUUCUAUGAUUAAUAGUUUAACCAUAAGCUUGCUCAUACUUUUAAAAAAAAUCCUAAGUUAUUGCAUAUUAGAUAUGAUGACUGUUAUGAAAUUGAUGCCCAAAAAAUAGAGUAUGAUAGGUUUCUUGAUUAACAAGAAAACCACUAAAGAAAAGAAAAGAGAGAAGAGAAAGAACAAUAAAAGUGGUUAAAAAUUGGAUUAAUCUUUAUUCAAUUACACAUUAGGGAACAAUGUUUACAAUUGAAUCUCAACCACACCACUUUCUUCCUCUGAUAGGAUUAUCUUAGAUUAAUGAAGAAGUGAGAACUAGUAUGCUAUAUCUAAGAAAACAAAACUCUAACUUUUAACUAACAUACUAAACGAUUGACCAAUAGACUGGCCCAAUUAGACAUGCUAACUUAAACAACAAGCUAAUAUAUAUAACUGCAUGUAAGAACAAACUUUGACUAUGAUAUGCACAUCUUCGACUCCUGGCGAACCAUGAAGUUAACCUUGUCGAUGCUAGAGCUUGAUCCAAAUACCACAAAUAUCCACCUUGGAAAAAACUCUACACAAACAAGGGAACAAGCUAGCUUUCAUCAUACAGCUUUAUCAACUGCAUACAAUGGAAGAACUUGCUACUCGAAAAUAUCUUGAUGAUCAUAUUAGAAACAUUGUCAUUAGUUGAAACCUUCAGCACUUGGACUUCUCCAUGUUCGCUUAUCUCUCUGAUGAAAUGCAGCCUCACAUUGAUGUGAUUGGUUCAUUCAUGAUAGGCUGAAUUAUUUGACGGAUGUAUGGCAAUUUGACCAUCAUAUUUAGCAGUGAUAACUUGACCUUGAAGUUUAAGCUCAUUUGCAAAACCUUCAAGCCACAAUGUUUCUUUCACAACUUCAGUGAGGGAAAUAUACUUCGCUUCAAUAGUUGAUAUGGAAACAACCUUUUAAAGUGUUGCUUUACAACUGAUUGUUAUGCCAAACAUAGUGAACACAUAUCCAAAAAUAGAUUUUAUGAAAUCCAUACAACCUGCAUAAUCAUAAUCGACAAAUCCUUCAAUUUUGACUUUGCUAUCAUCACCACAGGCUCCACCAUAAAUCAGGACUCUUCUUAGAGACCCAUUUAUGUACCUUAAAAUACACUUUAAUGCUUGUCAGUAUGCCUUUCCAGGAUUGACCAUGUACUUGCUCACAAGGCUCAUUACAUAUGUUAUGUUUGGCCUUGUACAAAACAUAACAUACAUCAAAGAACCUACUAUACUAGGAUAUGGAAUUCCAUUCAUAUAGGCUCUUUCAACUUCAAUACUAGGACGUUGAUUCAUACUCAACUUGAACUGAGGAUUAGUCUGUAUUACAACUUCGUUUGAAUUCAGUAUACCAAACUUGUUGAGAAUCUUCUUUAGUUAUGUCUCUUGAGAUAAGCAUAAUCUCGACUAAUUUAUAUCUCUCAGGAUGUAAAUCCCAAGAAUCUUGGAGGAAGCUCCCAGAUCCUUCAUGUCGAAAGAGAAAAAAGGCGUGCAUUGCUCAAGUGAAGCACAGUUGGUCGACAUUUUCACCAAAAGAUUGAAGAUCGAUGGAUUCCUGAAUUUGAGAAAGAAAUUAGAAAUAGUUUAGAUCGACUAUGAUUAGCAUAUGUUCGACGAGUUGGAUUAUAGAGGGAUAUGUUGAGAUAUAAGAUAUAAUCCAAGUUGUGUGUGACCCAAUCCAAAGUUAAUUAGGGUUUAAGGUUUGCUACUUAGUUUAUUAUAUUUGUUACUUAGUAGUCACGUAACUAUGUAUAUAAAUACAUGCAUAUAUAAGUCAGUUUGUAACACAAUCACUCUUCAAUAAUAGAAUCCUUAUUUUCAUAUUCUCUCUCUUUUCUCUCGUCACUAAAAGUGCCUCGCGCAAAAAAAAAAAUCUUAAAUAAUAUUUUGUAUAUUCAAUGCACUGAACAUAUAAUAUUUUGUUUAUUUGAAAUUCUUAAUCAAUAUCCUAAAAACAAUGGUUAACAUGACCCUUAAAAUAAUAAUAUUACUCAACGACAAUAACAAUCCUUUAUAUAUAUAUAUAUAUAUAUAUAUAUAUAUAUAUAUAUAUANNNNNNNNNNNNNNNNNNNNNNNNNNNNNNNNNNNNNNNNNNNNNNNNNNNNNNNNNNNNNNNNNNNNNNNNNNNNNNNNNNNNNNNNNNNNNNNNNNNNNNNNNNNNNNNNNNNNNNNNNNNNNNNNNNNNNNNNNNNNNNNNNNNNNNNNNNNNNNNNNNNNNNNNNNNNNNNNNNNNNNNNNNNNNNNNNNNNNNNNNNNNNNNNNNNNNNNNNNNNNNNNNNNNNNNNNNNNNNNNNNNNNNNNNNNNNNNNNNNNNNNNNNNNNNNNNNNNNNNNNNNNNNNNNNNNNNNNNNNNNNNNNNNNNNNNNNNNNNNNNNNNNNNNNNNNNNNNNNNNNNNNNNNNNNNNNNNNNNNNNNNNNNNNNNNNNNNNNNNNNNNNNNNNNNNNNNNNNNNNNNNNNNNNNNNNNNNNNNNNNNNNNNNNNNNNNNNNNNNNNNNNNNNNNNNNNNNNNNNNNNNNNNNNNNNNNNNNNNNNNNNNNNNNNNNNNNNNNNNNNNNNNNNNNNNNNNNNNNNNNNNNNNNNNNNNNNNNNNNNNNNNNNNNNNNNNNNNNNNNNNNNNNNNNNNNNNNNNNNNNNNNNNNNNNNNNNNNNNNNNNNNNNNNNNNNNNNNNNNNNNNNNNNNNNNNNNNNNNNNNNNNNNNNNNNNNNNNNNNNNNNNNNNNNNNNNNNNNNNNNNNNNNNNNNNNNNNNNNNNNNNNNNNNNNNNNNNNNNNNNNNNNNNNNNNNNNNNNNNNNNNNNNNNNNNNNNNNNNNNNNNNNNNNNNNNNNNNNNNNNNNNNNNNNNNNNNNNNNNNNNNNNNNNNNNNNNNNNNNNNNNNNNNNNNNNNNNNNNNNNNNNNNNNNNNNNNNNNNNNNNNNNNNNNNNNNNNNNNNNNNNNNNNNNNNNNNNNNNNNNNNNNNNNNNNNNNNNNNNNNNNNNNNNNNNNNNNNNNNNNNNNNNNNNNNNNNNNNNNNNNNNNNNNNNNNNNNNNNNNNNNNNNNNNNNNNNNNNNNNNNNNNNNNNNNNNNNNNNNNNNNNNNNNNNNNNNNNNNNNNNNNNNNNNNNNNNNNNNNNNNNNNNNNNNNNNNNNNNNNNNNNNNNNNNNNNNNNNNNNNNNNNNNNNNNNNNNNNNNNNNNNNNNNNNNNNNNNNNNNNNNNNNNNNNNNNNNNNNNNNNNNNNNNNNNNNNNNNNNNNNNNNNNNNNNNNNNNNNNNNNNNNNNNNNNNNNNNNNNNNNNNNNNNNNNNNNNNNNNNNNNNNNNNNNNNNNNNNNNNNNNNNNNNNNNNNNNNNNNNNNNNNNNNNNNNNNNNNNNNNNNNNNNNNNNNNNNNNNNNNNNNNNNNNNNNNNNNNNNNNNNNNNNNNNNNNNNNNNNNNNNNNNNNNNNNNNNNNNNNNNNNNNNNNNNNNNNNNNNNNNNNNNNNNNNNNNNNNNNNNNNNNNNNNNNNNNNNNNNNNNNNNNNNNNNNNNNNNNNNNNNNNNNNNNNNNNNNNNNNNNNNNNNNNNNNNNNNNNNNNNNNNNNNNNNNNNNNNNNNNNNNNNNNNNNNNNNNNNNNNNNNNNNNNNNNNNNNNNNNNNNNNNNNNNNNNNNNNNNNNNNNNNNNNNNNNNNNNNNNNNNNNNNNNNNNNNNNNNNNNNNNNNNNNNNNNNNNNNNNNNNNNNNNNNNNNNNNNNNNNNNNNNNNNNNNNNNNNNNNNNNNNNNNNNNNNUCUCUCUCUCUCUCUCUCUCUCUCUCUCUCUCUCUCUCUCUCUCUCUCUCUCUCUCUCUCUCUCUCUCUCUCUCUCUCUCUCUCUCUCUCUCUCUCUCUCUCAUAUAUAUAUAUAUAUAUAUAUAUAUAUAUAUAUAUAUAUUGAAUUUUACAUUUGUCAAAGAAUCAAAGUUGGAGAGGACAUCUUGAAUUUGAUCAUGAAACUUGGAUGAUCUUCAUCUAAUAAGCAUCAAGUAAGUUAUGGUCCUUGGAAGUUGACCUCCUAAUUAAGGCACAGACAAAAUGACCUAUAAUUUUUCACCAUAAAAAAUGAAUUUCCAAGAAAAACAAACUCUUGAUGCCAACAUGAAAGUUGUUUGGAAUGUCAUAAGGAGUAACUUUGCUCUUGGAAUCAUUUUCAUAUGAUAAACAUUGUAAGAGAUAGGGUCUAGAGAACCCCAGUUUUGAACAGUUGGCUUUCUCUAGUCAACCUCUUUGAACCAACUUGCAAACUUGAAGUUCUCUUGAUUUCUUGGGCUCAUGGAGGAUCAUAUAUGCAUAAGGUGACGUAUGGUGAAGUAUCCCUUGAUAUAUUGGAUCAAAUGUUGAAGAAACUUGCUGAGGAAGUUACAUAAGAUACCCAAAUAAAUUAGGGUUUCCAAGACAAACUAGCUUCAAACUCUUGAUGGAUUCUUGAUCCAAAUGAUAAAUGAAGAAUAUGGGGAUUCAUAUAUGAUGUCUAGAACCAUUUUGAACCAUCUAUUGAUUGAUAUCCUUGCAUUGAGGGUCUCAAACCCUAAUUGUGAGCUUGAUGAGGCAUUGGUAGAUGCACACAAUACCUACAAACACUACGCCAAAAACUGGAAUAGACAGCGCACCUUAGAGGGCGCUUUAUUACAAAAGCGCUCUCUAAAGUGAAGCGAAAAAAUAAGGAGCAAUAGACAGCGCACUUUAGAGGGCGCUUUUGUAAUAAAGCGCCCUCUAAAGGUGAAGGCGAAAUAAGGAGGAGAUAGAGGGACAAAAUACAUGGCGCUUUUCAGAAAAGCCGCCCUAUAGGUACCCCUUAGAGGGCGCUUUUUUAAAAAAGCGCUGUUAUAGUCCAUGUGCAUUUUCCAGUUUUAUAAAGCGGCUCUGGAAAGCUUAGAGAGCGCCUUUCAUAAGCGCCCUCUUAGGCCCCCUUUUGAUGGGCGCUUUUUUCCAAACGCCCUCUAAGGUCCCCUUUAGUAAACAUUAAAAUUAUAACAUAACUGCGCGUUUUGUUAUUUCCACUCCUCUGUUAUUUUCGUUCUUUUUUCACGUUAGGGUUUCUUCACCUGCUACGAUUUUUUCCGAUAACUUCUAGGCGUUCUCCCCUCCACCUCUGUUAGAUCUACGAUGUUUCCUCCUUACUAACCAAUCAAUAGGUAGCACGAUGCAUGCAGGCUUAUGAGUGUUAUUUUUCUAGCAUACAUUAUUACUGCACUAGUGCUUUGUUUUAGCUUUGCCCCAUUCAGUUUUAUGUUAUUGUUUGCCUAUGCUAAACGUUUGUUUCGACCUGUAAAGUUUUCAAAUAUUCAUAGUCAUUUAAAUAGUUUGGGUUAUUAGGAAUUGACGGUUGGUUUUAAAUUUGCUGAAUUUGAUAUCGCUAUGAAAUCAACAUUCAAAGAGACUGUUUUUAGGUUCGGUUUAAAUGGUUGCAUUAUAGACGACAUUAGUAACCUUUGAAUUUCGCGGGGCUGAGAUUGUAGUUUAACAACAUUUGUAAAACCCUUAAAAAAAUUUCCAAAUUUUGAACCUAUCAGGCAGCUAAACUAAACACCUUCUACCAAUCAAAGGUACACUAUGCAAGCUUAUGAGUGUUUUAUUCUAGAUACAUAGUUGUGCUAGUAACUUAAGAAGUUUUAGGUAUGGGAUGUUAUUUGAUAGAGUAAAUGGAGACAUGAAUGCCCUGCACAGAGACUAACAUCAAUAAAGCGAAAUUGGUUUGUCUGGCAUCCCAUUUUUGGUUUAUCUUCUGAAAUUGUUUUUUUGUUUAUUCUAAUUAGUAAAUGGAUAAUACAUGGAUGUCUUCCAAUCGAUUGUCGAGAGACGUAACGAGAAUGGGGUAUCAGAAUUCGUUAAGUUUUGUCGUUGCGCACCGCCGAAGACCCCCGGUAGAAUGAUAUGUCCUUGCUUGGUUGUUGUUAUGGAAACGGGUUUGACGCAGUUCAGUUGACAAUCGGCAUCUCAUGAGGCAUGGAAUUGAUCGAAGUUAUACAUGUUGGAAUUUGCAUGGUGAGAAAAGUAACGAGAAUGUUUGAACGCGGGGGAUAGUACGACAUAUCCUCAAACUAUAGUGGCGCAAAUACAUACGAUUGUGGAUCGAGUUGAAGAGAUUGCAGAAGCACUUUAAAGGAGAUUCUAAGGAUUUGUCCGAAAUGUUUGAGAGGUUGGUAAGUGAUGCAGAGAAACUUUUGUAAUGUAGGUUGCACUAAAUUCACAAGAUUGUCUGCGGUUAUUAAAGUUGUACAACUUAAAGCGGGCAAUGGAUGGUCGGAUAAAAGUUUCCACAGAGUUAUUAGCCCUUUUGAAAGAUAUGCUUCCUGAGGAUAAUGUUCUUCCCAAUCGAACAUAUGAGAACCAAAAAGAUGUUGUGCUCUAUUGGCAUAAAUAUGAUAAGAUACAUGCAUGUCCAAACGAUUGCGUUUUGUUUCGAAAUGAGUAUGCAUCGUUAAAUGAGUGUCCUAAAUGCGGUGUCUCUCGCGAUAUAAGAACAAGUUGUCUCCAGCAAAAGUCUUGGUGGUAUUUCCCUGUUAUUCCGAGAUUUAGACGCAUGUUUGUAGUGAAACCGAUUCAAGACACUUGACCUGGCAUGCAGAUGAAAGAAUUAUAGAUGGAAAAUAUGCGACAUCCGGCAGAUUCACCACAGUGGUUGAAAAUUGAUAAUGAUUAAUCCUAAAUUUGGAGAGAAAUCAAGAAACCUUCGGCUGGCAUUAUCUACUGAUGGAAUGAACCCACACGGUAUCCAGAGUAAUCUCAACAGUACAGUGGCCUGUGAUUAUUAUGAUUUAUAACCUACCUCCAUGGCUAUGUAUGAAGCGUAAGUAACAUGAUGUUGUCUAUGUUGAUUUCUGGACCUCAAAACACCAGGGAAUGACAUAGACGUGUACUUGAAGCCCUUAAUCGAAGAUUUAAAGAUUUUGUGGGAGACGCGGUGUGGAGGUUUAUAAUGGAUAUAGGAAAGAAAGUUUCAACCUUGAGGGCGAUUGUUUGUUUGGCACAAAUUAAUGAUUUUCCAGCAUACGGAAAUCUAUCAGGGUAUAAGCAUAAAAGGGUCAAUGUGCGUGUCCUAUUUGUGAAGAUAAAAAAGAUUGGAAGGGCUUGGAGUUUGGUCAGAAGAAUGUCUUUCUUCGAUCAUCGGAGAUUUUAAAUUCAAAUCAUCACUACCGUGGAUGGAGAAAGGCGUUCAAUGGAGAGACAGAACAAGGCCAAAACUCCACCUAUAUUGACGGGUGAUCAAAUUUUUGAAAAGGUGAAAGAUUUGGAUACUCAGUUUGGCAAGCCUUUUGUCCACACACUUGUCAAAAGUGGGUGGAAGAAAGAGGUCAGUUUUUUUUGAAUUGCCGUAUUGGAAGUCCUUGUAUGUGAGACAUUUUCUUGAUGUUAUGCCAUAUUGAAAAAAAAUGUUUUGAAAGUGUUAUUGGCACGUUACCUCAAUAUACAAGGGAAAGUCUAAGGAUGGCCUAAGGCAAGAAAGGACUUGAUAGCGAUGGGAAUAAGAACUGAAUUAAGGACCCUUGAAAGAAAGGGGAAAAAAACAUUGUGUAAGUUUCUCAAGUGAAGUUAAAGUUCCAGAAGGGUACUCUUCAGAUAUUAGAAGACUUGUGUCUAUGAAAGACCUCAAGUUAAAGAGUUAUAAAGACCCAUGAUUGCCAUGUAUAAUGGAACAUUUUCCCAAUAGGUAUACGUUCUAUUCUUCCAGAAAAAGUAAGAAGCUCUAUAACUUAAGUUGUAUUCUUCUUCAAGUCAAUUUGCAGUAAGGUGAUCGAUCCUGCGAUCUUACCAAUGUUGCAAAAAGAAAUCUUAUUACUUUGUGUGAGCUUGAAAUGUUUUUUCCUCCAUCAUUUUUUGACAUAAUGGUACAUCUAGUUGUUCAUCUUGUGAAAGAGACACAAUUGUGUGGACCAGCUAUAUGAGAUGGAUGUACCCUGUUGAACGUUAUAUGAAAAUAUUAAAAGGGUACGUGGAAGAACCGAAGUCGACCAGAAGGUUGUAUGGUUGAAAGAUACAUUGUUGAAGAAGCGAUUGAGUUUGUACUGAAUAUUGUCUAAUGUUCAGUCAAUCGGACUCCCCAAGUCUCAGCUUGUCGAAAAGAAAGAAGGAAAAAAUCUAAUUGAAAUAAAAUCGUGGCAGUAAUCAAGGGUCGAACGGGAUCAAGUGCAUUUGUAUGUUCUGCACAAUGAGAAUGAGGUUGAGUCGUAUGUGGAAAAUUUUACAAGGAUGUUCUCCGAGGUUUAAAUCCCAAUAGAAAUGAAAUUGGAUAGUACGAGAGAACAAUCGAUGUUUUAUACCUUGGUUUAAGGAUCAUAUUAUUCAAAGUAAUUAUUCAGACCCGCUUCAAUAACAGAAAGGUUGAGAUGCUUAGCAUAUUGGUCCAAGUUUCCAUGUUUUUUCUUAUAGCGCAUACGCGAUUAAUGGAUACACAUUUUAUACCAAAGAACAAGAUGAUAAAAGUACUAUGCAGAAUAGUGGUGUCACCGUGGUAGCUAAGCAAUGCACAUAUCAAAGUGUGAAGGACUUAAACCCCAAAUUUGCAAAUAUGUCGUAUUUUGGUGUUAUCGAGCGCAUUUGGGUGUUUGAUUAUGAGAAGUUUCAGAUUCCUAUAUUGUUGCAAGUGGGUUGAAAAAUAAUAACGGCAUUCGAAUGGAUAAGUCAAGAUUUUGCAAGUGGAUCUUAAUAGGGUGGGAUACAAAGAAUGAGUUUUUAUUCUAGCCUCUCAAGCUAGACAAGUGUUCUAUGUCAAUGAUCCGAAAAGUAUGAAAUGGUCUAUAGUUCUUUUUUCCAACAAAGUAAUUGAUGAAAACACUGGAGAUCAAGGUGAUAUUGAUGUUGAGAUUGAAUCGUUUACCAGAAAUGAUCAAGAUGAGAAUAUUAAUCAAAUGAUUCAUAUAUUAGAAAUGAUCAUAAUGAGGGUAUUUGGAUCAAUCCAACCGUCCGUGUUGUUAAGAGCAUGUGAAACAUAUUCCAACCAAGAAAAGAAAAAGAACUUAGUGAAAAAGGUACAGGUCAAAUGAUUUAAUUGUUCUAUUACAAAGGUAAAAUGGCUUUUAUGAUUUUAAUUGUUUUUGUAUUUGUCAUCUGAUUUUAAUUGUUUUCUUUAUUACAGGUAAAAUGGCUCUUAUGAAGUCAUCAUUCGUGCAAGGGGCAAGGGAUACUUGAAAGUAUCAAUUGAUAUUUGUUUAGAUGGAGAUGUUCCAUUGUCGUCAAGCCUCAUUCGCGUAGAUGAUGAAUGCUGGAUAUUUGAAAGUAUCCCUCUACGACAAUGGAACAUGUCCAUCUAAACAAAUAUCAAUUCUAUCUUCAAAGAUAAGGGACCAAAAAUAUAAGGGGAUUACGCAGCAAAUCGAGUCAGUUGCAUAAAAAAAAAAAGGUAUAACACAAUUAUAUGAUAUUUAUGCAUAGAAAAUGUUAAUUCUUGAUCUUAUACUUUCACCUAACUAAUUUUAUGAUAUUUUUAGGUUCAUGCUAUUGAAUUGAACAAAAAGAGGUUGUUGCUAAGAAGACUGCGGCUAGCAAAAAAAACAUACAUCUCAGAGAUGCUUUUGCUACUUAGUUUUAUUUCUUUUAAAGUUAUGAAUUGGUUGUAUAUUUAGAAUCUUAGAAGUUAAACGAUUAUAUCAGUGGAUUGUUGUAUAUGUAUGGAUUGUUGUAUAUAAAGGCUGUUGAAUGCAAUGUGUGAAAAAGGGCUUCAAAUUAUACAGUUUUGGGUGUACUGCUUCAAUAUACAGGUUGUCAAAAUAAAUAAAUAAAUAUAGCGCUUUUUAAAAAAAAUAAUUAAUAACCACCCACUUUAGAGAGCGCUUUCCAAAAUAACGCCCUCUAAACCCUUAAAAGUUUCCACUUUAGAGGACGCUUUCCAGUAAAAGCGCCCUCUAAACCCUUAAAAGUUUCCACUUUAGAGGGCGCUUUCUUUAAAAAGCGCCCUCUAAAGUGGCCCUUAAAGGGCUUAAAUAACCACUUUAGAGAGCGCUUUCACCAGGAAAAAAAGCGCUAUCUUUACCUAUGCCAGCGCCAGAUUAGAGGGCGCUUUAAAGCGCUGUUAUAGGCCAAAAAAAGCGCCCUCUUUUCCCUUAUUUGGCGUAGUGAAAAGAAACAAAGUUAUACAUAGAUAUACUUUUGGUAUUUUGGUUGGUAAAUAAAGAAAAAUAAAGUAUGAUACAAUCAAAUAUGUUUGGUGAUCUCUCCCCAUGCAAACCUAAUGAAUGAGGGGUAAGGAGGAUACCAAUGUGUGAUCCCAAAGUCAAUACAAAUGAUGAGAUAUCAUGAGGGAUCUUAGGAUCAAAAUUGGAGUCUUACAAUUAAGGCAGUUAUACACUAUAUACUAUUGUGUAUAUAUUGUCUCUUUUGAACAAUGUAAGAGUCAGGUUGGAGAUUUAUAAUAAUCCACUUCAUUAUUCAAUUUAUUUCCCCCUUUUUCAUAUGUCCAAUGGAUGAAUUACGUGAAAAAAGAUUACUAAUUAUAUGUAUAUUGCUUAUUUAUAAAUAUUUAUAUAAAUAAAUAAACAAUGAUUAUUUUUGAAUUUUGUGUGUUCCUUAUUAUUAGGAAUCAAUUUUAAAAUUGGAACAUAACGUCCAAAUUCUUUGAGAUGAUCUUGAUUAUGAUUGAUCAAAUAAUUCUUAGACAAGACAAAAACUUGAUAAAUAAAUGAAUUCUAGAAGAUAAAAUUAUGAAAAAGAUAAUAAUUGUAUGAGUUAAAUUUUAACCAAAAUAUUUCUUAAUAAUUGUGGGAGAGAUACCUUAUUCACACAAAAUAAAUCCCAUUGAAAAAAUAAUCUGAUGUUAAUUUGUGUUCAUGUAGUUCUAACAACAACUAAAAAAACUCAUAUCUAUGUAAUUACUACUAACAACUUCCUCUAUCCUAAUAUCGAGAAAAAGAGAAAGCACUAGACAAACUUAAUUCAAAUUAUUGGUGAUUUUUUUUAUAAAAAGAUAUAUUAUCAUAUUUUAUUUUACAACAUUAUAUUAAAAAAUUUAACAAUAUUAAUAUUAUUUAUAACUAAUUCUUUUGAUUAGUUGUUCAAUUUUUUUUAAUCAGAGAUCCAUUUUUAUUAUUUGUUCAGGACCUUUAAAAAUUCAAGAUCAAUAUUUUAAUAUAUAUAUAUAUUAUAAUAUAUAUAUAUAUAUAUAUAUAUAUUAUCGAUGAAGUACAAGAAUUCAGAAAAACAAACAGAAGGAUAUAAUAAAUCCAUGAGCAAAACCCCACAGAGAAUAUAAGCAUUAACUUUAUUUUAUGUAAACCAUUGUUUUUCUUCAAUUAUUUUUAUUCAUAAUACAUUUUAUUAGUGAGGAAAUUGUUUUGUUGUUGCAUGGGGUGCCAACAUAUUCUCAUUGGCAUAAAUCCUUUAAUUCACAUUAAUUAUAUAUAUAUAUUAUAUAUUAUAUAUAUAUAUAUAAUAUAUAUAUAUAUAUAUAUAUAUAUAUAUAUAUAUAUAUAAUAUAUAUAUAAUAGAUUAGCUAGGAUUUAAGCAAUGCCGUUAUAUUUUUUUUAUGAAAUAAGUAUAGUGAUAUACAAAAUAAGUAUAUUGAUAUUCAAAAUAAUGUGCACUAUGACUAUUAUUAUACUACUAAUAAUUAUAUUUAUUAAAAAUACCCCUUUCUAUUUUCAAAGGUUGAAACCAUAGUUUAAAAAUAUUAAAUUCCAAUGAAUAGCAAAUUUUUUACAUGACCGUUUCAAUAAAUAUGUUAAAGAGAAAAACACAACACAUGAAAAAAUUAUAAUUUUAGGAAGUGAAGUUCACAACUCCUAAAGGAUACAAAUAUUUUAUUGUUUUUCAACACAACCUUCUCUUUAUACAAUUCAAAUAAUAUUCUAUUUGUUGUGUGUAAAGAGAGAAAAAUAUGACUAAAACUCUUAUGAUUGUGUAUAUUAUGGUUUCAUUUCUCUUUCUCUUUCUAAUUGCAAGGAAUAAUGGCGCCAGUAAUUUAUUUUCUUGUCAUUUUAAAAUUUCCUUCUAUAAACUUUUAUCUUUUGUAUUAUGUUACUAACAUUAUUUUACUAUGUUUUUUCAUUACAGCACCAGCAGCAAUUGAUUGUAUAACGGAUGCUGAUUGUCCAAAUAGAACUCAAAUUUUCAGGUAUAAGUGUGUUAACAAGAAAUGUAAAGGUACUAGAGUGACAUCAAUCACUCUACUAUAAGAUAAACUUGAUGAAUUAAAAAAGCUUCUAAUUAAAUUAAAUAAAAAAUGAUGAACAAGUUCUACAAGUAUACCAAAGUCACUGUCAUGUAAUAAACUACAUUUGUAUCUCUACUAAGAUUGUAUUUUCAUCAAUAGUAAUAUUUAUUUAUAUUUUACCACCCUUGCAAUUAAUCGCUUUGACUCUAAGAUCUUUGAAUUAAGUGAUUUUUUUUUAUGUAUCGACAUGGGAACCAAUUAAGGCAUAUAAUAAGAUAUUAAAUUAAUUAUAAUAUAUAUAAUCGAGAUUAUAUAAAAAUAGCAGAUAAACGGAUAACAAGUUGUGAUGUUAUCCUUUUUUUGGAUGACAAAAUUAUUCCUCUUAAAAUUUAUAUUUAUUGUCUUAUGUGACACAACAUGCUAUGCAUGAGCCUUUGCAUUUUCGGUAAAAGAUUCACUGCUCUUUCGCUGUCGCAUACAUGGUGUUUGUUAAAACUCCUAAACCAGAAUUAUUUUCCAUUGAGCAGGGGAGAAGCACAUUUUUGUUUGUCCUAUGGUUUCUACUCAGAUUGGAUGUUUGCGUUGUCCAUUGCGAGAGUUUCAUUGUUGCCCUGAUGGCAAGGAUGGGAGCAAAGUUAUUUCUCGUAUGGUGUCUCAUCUUAAGACGCUACAUGUAUGUAGCGAAGAACGCGAAAACACAAUUCGAGAAGGUAUUCAGAGUGAUUCAAAUUUGUUUACGGCAUUGUAGGAGAACUUAAUCGGAGUUGGGCAAUGGAUAUGCGGAAGGUGCAUGAGCAUUCAUGCCAUAAGUUGAACAUGUCAUCGUCCUGAUGGUCUGAUUCAGGUUACUCUUGAGAGAGCGGAGGUCGAAAGUCACAUUAUGGGUAUUGUUAAACCAUCUACAAUAGACUUUGAUAAUCAUGAUGAAAAUAAGGGGAUUGUAUACGACCCAAGAUUGCUAGAGCGAGUCUUCAAAAAAUCUAGCUUUAUUGUAAAGAGAAUACCUUUUAAGUGUCGUCGUGCUUUCUCUUAGGAAUUGAAAGAUGUGCUCCUCAAGGUGGUUGUUGAGACAAGAUCUAUAGAUAAUUAGGUUUGGUUGUUACUUCUUCCUCGUUGCACUUUGCAGGUGGUCAAACUUCAUAAUAGACGGGAUUGUAGGUCUGAGAAUCGGAAAGCCUUGCAAGAACAUCAUAUUUUAAAGUGUUUAACUACUUUGAAGGAUGCAUAUGGUCUUGCCAAGUUAGUUGAUAUUGUUUUUUGAAGCUCUAAGAAAUAUAAGUUGGGACAUGAGGGAUUUUAUAUUGAGGAGAAAUAUGCAAAGGUGAGCUCUAACGUCAAGUAAUGCCUCUAUAAGAUUGUAGAUGGUCAUUUCACAUCAGUUGUGAAUGUGUUGGGGUCAUAUGGUGUGGGGUCAUAUGGUGUGGCGCCCUAUAAUGCACAUACUAUGAAGGCUUUGGAGGGUAAACACCCGUACAAACCACCUCCCUCAAUGCCGACUAAUUUGUUCUCUGAAUCUCCUCUAGUGGUUGAAGUUGAUAUUGUCUUCAGGUGCAUUAAGUCAUUCCCCAAAGAUAAUUCAUGUGGUAGAGAUGGUUUACGAGCUCAACAUUUAUUGGACGCAAUGUGUGGAGAAGGUUAUGUUGUGUCUAGAGAUAUCUUAUGUGGAAUCACUCUAGUUGUUAACAUAUGGUUGGGAGGGAGAUAUCCGAUGAGUUUGGCAAAGUUUGUUGCCUCAACAAUUUUGACGUAGUUAUUAAAGCCUGAUGGUGGGAUACGACCAAUUGUUGUGGGUUCUAUUUGGAGACGGUUGGUAUCCAAGGUUACAAUGAAAUGGGUCAGUAAGGAUAUGGCACGAUAUCUCAAUGAAUUACGGGUUGGGAUAGGGGUAUCAAGUGGUACUAAGGCCAUUUUUCACAGUGUCGACAUCGUGUUGAGCAAGCGACACUAAAAUGGCUCUUUGACUAUGCUCACAGUAUAUUUCAUGAAUGCUUUAAACUUGAUAGAUCGACCAACUAUUUUUCAAGGGGUGAUGGUGAGAUGCCUAUAUAUUUCCUUGUAGGUUAAAUUUCUCUAUGGUCACUUAUCAUGGUUAUACCUUAGGGAUGGGUAUAUUAUAUCAACCACUAGAGUGCAACAAGGUGACCCAUUAUGACCACUCCUUUUUGCCCUUGUGUUAAAUCCACUUAUUAAUCAAACCAGUGGCAAUUGUAAGAUUCUUCUUCAUGCCUCUUACAUUGAUGAUGAUACCAUCAUAGAGGAUUCAAUGGAGGUGGCUAAAGCCUUUGACAUCAUUUGGGAGACCGAUUCAUAAUUAGGUCUCGAAUUGAAUAUUCAUAAAAUUGAGAUCUUUUAGCCUUCGUGUGAUGAAACUAAACUUUACGGGGAGUUAUUUCCUUCAGACAUUGGCAGGGAUAUGUUGGGGAUGAAUUUGCUUGGAGGGACUAUUAGUCGAGAUGAAGGCUUUAUCGAGGGGUUGUCAAUGAAGAUAGUGGUUAGGGUUGUUGAGCUCGUGUGUCUUCUGCCACAAAUAAGAAAUCCUCAGACUGAGCUUCUCCUAUUUUGUUCUUGCAGGGGUAUCGCCAAACUCGUUUUUGGCCUUAGAUCAUGUCAAACUAAUGAUACAGAGAAAUAAUCUAUUUGGUUUGAUAAAGAGUCGUGAAGGGAAGUUGAAGACAUUGUGGUUGGUAGAGGUCCUUUCUUCGGGGAAAUUCAAUGGAUAAUGGCUUAUUUACCUAUUAGAGUUGGGGGAUUAGGUUUGUACUCAGCAACAGAGGCUACCUCAUGUGAUUUUGUGGCUUUUAGGGCCCAAUUUUGGGUGUUACAAGAUCAUAUAUUGAGAGACAGUGGGAUAUAUGAUAUGUACCUUGAUUACGAUAGAGCUUUGGAUGGUCUUAGUGAUGUGAAUCUAGGUUUUGACCUUAUCACUUUUACUAGAAAGGGCAUCAUACCUCCCAAAGCACAACAUGUUUUGGUGAUUUCCCUUUUUAGUAAAAGUGUUCAGAACAUAAAUGUAAAGUUUGACAUGACCACAAGUUGGAAAGCAGUUUUUGGUUGUUUACAAGAAACACAUGCUCAAUAUUUUCUCCUUGAUAUCCCUAUUGAUGGUAUUGGCCAACAUAUAUCAUUGGUAGAGUUCUAUACCAUCUUAGAUAUCGGCUUAUGAUUCCCUUAUUUAUUAUUGAUAAGGUUUUCCUUGUUUUCUGCAAGGCGUGCAUGGAUACAUUUGGGGAACAUGUUAUUCAUUGCAAGUAGCCUCUAGAACUCAAAUAUCGAUAUGACUUUGUUAGGAAUGUCCUAUUUCAUAUAUUUAGACGUGUAGGGGUAUUCGUGAAGAAAGAGGCACAUGUGAAUUUCUUGACUGAUCCAUGAAAAAGGAGAUCAACUCUUAGUCCAACAUGCGUUUUAGGGUAUGGGUGGGUAGGAGGAAAACAUGCAUUUGUAGACUUGAUCGGGGUUUUCCCAAUGGCGGUACUGAGGACUGGAGGUUUUAUUAUGGGACAGACAGCUCAUAAAUUUGUUUAAAGUAAAAUGGUCAGACAUGAGAAAGCGUGUUCCAACAAUCAACAUGCUUUCAUACCAUUUUCCUUUGACACUUUUGAUUUUCUAGCACCAAAAGCAAUGUAUAUUAAAAAGUUAAAAUGAAAAUAAUAUUUAUUUAAAAUUCAUAACUUUACUAUCAUAUCAUAAUAAUGUUAUACUUUUGAGUUUUCAAAUAAUUUAAAUCAUACUUCUCGUGAACGGAGAGUUCAUCAAAUCAUUUCAUUCUUCUAAGUAGAAAUAUUUGAUUCUAAAGAAUCUAAAAGGAUUGUUUAUCCAACGUCUGGUCAUAUAUUAUUUUUACAUUUUAUCUUAUAAAAUAGUGGUUCUUAACAUAUAUUCCAACAAUAAAUUGUUCCUUUUCAAUUGACCAUUUAUCUGAGGUCGAUAAGAUUAUAUCGUACUUCGUUUUAUUUCUCCUAUCCCUUGAAGGACUUUCCUAAAUAUAGAUAAAAUCUUAAAUCUCUUUCUGAUACAUCCUUUGAAGGCACUCCAUGUAACUAUAUAAUGCAACCUAAGAGGGGGGUGAAUUAGGUUUAACUAUAUUUUCUCGAUUUAAUAUAACGGUUUGCGUGUUCUUAUUUUUUCUUGAACUUUUUGAUGAACUUGGAAAGUAAAAUGCAUAAAAUAAAUGUUGAAAUAUAAAGAACACAAUAUAUACCUUGAUUCCCCUUUCAAAACAAGGGUUCACUAUGUUAGAAAUGUUACAGUCGAUCCACGAGACUCUCUUAACUUUCUAACACAAUCACAAAGGCAUCACAUCCCACCUUAUGAUAUUACAAAUACAAAGAGAAAGAGCCCUACUUUCUCUCUAAUACACUUGUUACCAACAAUCCGGUGUACAAGUAACAUAAUAUUGAUACAAUGUUACAAAAAAUUUGAAUAAAAAAUAUACGUACAAUAGAAUUUUGAUACCAUAUCAAAAUCCUAACAAAGUUGUUAUUCCCUUUCAAAUAUGACAACUCAAAUAUUCACUCUAAUUGCUCAAGAACUUAACUCUGAUUAAUAUGAAAUUGUAUGCAAAAAUUUCUUGGAAAAUAAUAAUGUAACAAUGAAUUGAAUUAUUUAGAAAAUAUUUGAAAGAGCUAAUUUAAAAUGAGAAAAAUUAUGCAUUUUAUAACCAAGAAACCUCUUGGAAAACAUGGCAAUGUUUUAGAAAAAAAACAUGAAUAAUCAUGCACUAAUUUAGAAAAGAUGCAAUAAUCAAGUGCCAUGAAAUGGUAUUAAUAACUGUCGCAUCCGCGAAAAACAACCGGCGGGCUGAAACAAAAACAACACAGAGCCGCCACCGUGCGUUAUUUAUCCCAAAAGAGGGAAAGGAAACGCUCAGAGUAAACCCGGAAAAAGCAUGGUCUUGCGACCAAAGAGAAAGGGUACGGGAGUCGGUUAUGCGAAGGGAAGGUAUUAGCACCCCUACGCAUCCGUCGUACUCGACGGGAUCCACGCUCUAGAAGAAAGAAAAGGUUGCUAAAACAAACACCACACACACACACACCGAAAACAACACAGGUGGGGAAGAGGAAAGAGGGCUCGCUAGGACAUCGCGUCAUAUGCCUACGUAUCUUGUCUGAAACGAGAAUCAGAGCUGCCGUAGUUCGGCUCACGCACGCCAAACAAACAAACACACAAACAGGCAAACAUGGCAAACACACCCACACUGGAACCCGAAUGCCACUUGAUGGACUUACAUCAGCUUCCAAGCACACAACAAGACACGGGAUAUGGAAUGUCAAUCGCUGGGCUUACAUCCAUCUCCUGACACACACAAAAAUAAAACAAAACAGGCGCCCGGAGAGAUCUGUUCAUCUCCGGCCUACGUACCUCAUCUGGUAUGAGGAUCAGGGUGACGUAGUUCCCCUGAACGGGAAAGAAAUUCUAGCCAGAUACAAAGGGAGACACACUACUAGGGAGCUGUACUCGAGCCUAGAUGUUAUCAUGCAUCAUUGCCCUAUGUUAAGUUUUCUAUCUACUUGCACAACAGCAAGCUAAUCCUAUCCAGGAAAAGCAAGCAUGCAAGCAUAAGCAAAACAAAUAAUCACAAAUAGCACACACUAUAUCCACACAAGUGAGGCUCAAACAAGGGUGAGGCUGCUAGAGCAAGCCAACUGUACAGGGUAGUGUUCGCUCUUAACCCUGACAUUGAGAGUCAGGGAAGCAGAUGAAAGGUGAGUGAAGAUGAGACUUCACAACUCUUAUCCCUGGCCAGGGAGAGCUUCAGACAAAGGAGCGUGGGUUCAGAAAGUGGGAACCCUUCUACGCUCACGACUCUGACUCAACUGUACAACUGUACAAGAUCUUGGGUUAAGUCCCAUGCACAAACACAGUGGUGUGAGCAGAGGGACGACUCAACAAGAAUAGCAGGGGAUGGAUUGCACAUCCCUUGGGUUCUGCCAAUUGCCUUAAUCAAGGACUUUUCCUGCUUGGGGACAAAAAUAAACAAGCACAGACACUGCCUCUUAAGGAGGACUUCAGACAGUUGCCUGGCCAAGUAACAGGCCAGGUCUUCCAGACUACAUGGAGUUAGAGUGUUCUACCUCUAUUGGUUAAGCAACCAAGAAAUAGCAAGCGAGUUCAAAAAGAACUGUUAGCAACUAAUGUACCUGAAAUCAAUCAAAUAUCAUCAGUAUACCAAUCACAAAGUCAAAACAAACAACAUAAAAGCCAACAAACAAUGUACAAUCAAACACAUGUGCAAAGCACAAGUCCAAAGCAAGUGAGCUAGGCAUCCUGUAAAACAAACAAGUUAGUUCACAACAAGCAACCAAACUCAAUCAACUUGCAUUAAUCUCCUUAAAGCAUUUGCUUCUUAACCUGAAAAGCAAACUCAAACAUGAGAAACAAGACCACUAGGCCAAGCCUAGGGUCAAAAGGAGGUAAAAAAUCCAAAACAGCAAGUGAAAAUUGAUCAAAACCAAGAUAAAUCAAUCAAAAAGAGAAUCCAAUUGGUCUCACAUCAAAACUAUACACCAAAUCCAUUUCAUGAAUAAAACAUGUCAAUUGAAACACAUUGGUGUAAACAGAAUGAUCACAAUCAAAUCAAUACCAAAACAACUCAAUAAAUUCCACAAAAAUUCAAGUCUAAACAGAACACAUUCAAUGAGCAUCAUAUCAAAUUUCAUGCCAUUUGGACAAGAGUAAGUAGGUCAAUGAAAAUCAAAAAGUCCAGACAAGUUCAAGCAAACCAACACAUAGCAUCAAAAUAAGCACCAACUUCCAUCAAUCAUAAAACAGCAACCAACCAUGAUAAAUGAAUGGGAUCAAAGCCAAGAUGACCAAUAAUGUGUCUAGAAUGCUCAUGUCAAAUUUCACAUCCAUCCAAUAAACCAUAAGGAUUUCACAAACCAAAUACAAACAUGUGUCACAAAAAAUCAACAAAUGACCAAACAGGGGAGAAAAUUCCAAUCAAAUAGGAAAUGCCAUCAAUAAAUCCAGAAAACUUCCCAUGUAUUCUCAACAUCCCUAUGCUCAAUCAUGCAAAAAUUCAACUCAAUCCAAUGUCCCUAAGCAUGGCAAAUAAAAUCAUGAAUUUGCACAAUGAAUGGUGUGACACAAAUUAUCACACCUCUAUUCAAAAAAUUAUAUCUCAUCAACCAGGGAUCCAAAAAUUGCAAACCACAUAUCAAAAUCACCAGCAAAGAGUCAAGAAUAGGCAUGAAAAAUUUCAAACAUUUCUAUGGAAGCAUCAAGAUUUUAUGAUCAAAAUGGUGAGCAUGGUACACAAAGCAUACAUUCAAACAAUCCCUAGGCAUUUUUAAAAUUCACACGUGCACAAAAAUAUUAAAAAUCAUCAUAAAAAACUACACAUCACAAGGAGAAUGGUGAAAAAAACCUCAUCAAAUUUGGACAAGAAAUGAAGAACUUAUGGAUUUUUGAAGAUGCAAGACCAAAAUGAAAUGAAAAAUGAAAAAAGAAAAUGAAAUAAUGUGAUUAAAUGUCACAAUGGCAAUUUUGUAAAUAUCUGGUAAAGAAACCAAACGCGGCGUUUUCAUUAAACGCGGUGGCGCCAUCUGAUUGGCUGUAGCUCGCGGGAAACACCAUUUCAAAAAUGAAAGCCAGGUGCAUGGAUCAAACAGAACUGGAAACGCGUUCUUCAUCAUUCAUCAACAUUCAUCAAUUCCAGAAAAUCAUCAAGAACAUUUUCUAACUAAAAUCAUCGUGCCAUAUAUCAUUGGAUUCGUCUUUCCACCUAGAUCAUGGAUAUGAACUUAAUUUCUCCUAAUUCUACUCAUGCUUCACGGAUCGAGCGAAAUAAGUUUCACAUUCAAAUGUUCAAAUCCAAAUAUCUCAUUCAAUUCUCAAUGAUUUUCAAAACUAUAAGUUGCAGUGCACUCUAUGAUCAGAGACCUAUAAGAACCAUAUCAUAAUUUAAGCAAUGAUUGAGAUCGAAUUCUGACCUUAUGAAUGAAGCAGGUGAUGAUUCGUGCGUUUCAAGGUCCCUAAUGCCAAAACAGAUGAAGAUUGAUGAUGUGGAAGUUGAAUGAAGUACGUGUCUCAACUCAAUUGCGCACCAGAUUGAAGAACUUUCAAGAUGCCAUGGAUGAUCAAGCUUUCAACAGUCCAAUUCCUUAAUGUUAUGCCACGAUUUUGUUGAAACAGAUGUACACAAGCACUUGUAGAUGAUGGAUCCAAAAAGAAACAGCAAGAAGAUUGAUGAACUUGCAAUGAAAAAUGAUGAAAAAGUGUGAAAAGAUUUGGAGAAAAUUGAGAGGUUUUUGGAGGGAAAGUUUGUUAGAUCUGAAAUUGUGAAAUGUGAUUAUGCAUUUUCUGUUAUGAUUAAUGUUUUAUACAAAAUUGAGAGGUUUUUGGAGGGAAAGUUUGUUAGAUCUGAAAUUGUGAAAUGUGAUUAUGCAUUUUCUGUUAUGAUUAAUGUUUUAUACCACAUGCUAAUCCAAGUGCUAAUCACAAUUAGCAAAUUGGAAUGAAUUAGUGAAAUGUAAUUUUAAGCAUAAAUGUCCAAAAUGGCCUUUUGCAAAAUCAUCCAAUGCAACAGUAAAAACCAGUUCAAACAAGUCACAUUGGAUGUUUAUGAUGUGUUGGAAUAGGCUUUGUAUGGAAAUCACAUGUAUUUUGGAAAUUCACCAUUUUUUCCACCAAUUUUCAAAUAGUUCACUUGAAAAAUGACAUUUUGCUAUGAUGAUUUUUGAUGAAAUGUGAUGAUGCAUCAUGAAAGUACAUGUAAAAUGUGGUUUGCUCAAAGAAAGAUCACCCAAUUUGGCCAUUCCAUUCAAAAGUUAUGGCACUUUGAAUUUCAACAUUUUCUGAAAAUGAUUUGAUCACAACUUGCCAACCGCACAUGAGAAGUUCAUGUUCUUGGACUUUUUGGAAAGGUGAGAGCAAGAUCUACAACUUUCAUGUUGGACAAAAUUUCAUUUGAAGCAUUAUUGGACAUGUAAUUUUGAGGUGGAAAACUUUCCAUUUUUGGUAGUUUCCAAUUACAGGUCACCUGCUAUUUUUGGAAACUUUUCAUCUGACUUUAUUUUCUUCAUUCUUGAUGUUUGAAAUGUCAAAUGAAACUUGUUUAGACAUGAAUGAAGUGUCUCUUGCCCUCUCCCACCUCCAAAUCCAUCAAUUCAGGCACAGUUGACCACAGUUGACUUUUUUGACUGAUAGAUGAAUUUGGCCAUGCACCGAUCAAGUUGAGCCUCAAACUCCUGAUGAAAUGGCUCAAUGAUGAAACCCUAGCCUCCACAAGCUCAAUAUAAUCAUGAAAUGAUUCCCAUAUCCAUUGUAGACCCCAUCUCCUUGCCAUGCCCUGAUUGGCCCAAUACAACUGAUUAGGGUUGACCAGUGGUCAAAACCCUAAUCCCAAGGUAUCUGAUAACAAGACCAUGAUGAUGAUGAUGUAUCAUUUCAACCAAGAUGAAGAUCAAUCUCCUUGAGAACCAAGAAACCCUAAUUUGUAGCACAAUCCUCAGAUGAUUAAUGAUCAGUCCAUAAACCCUCAGGCUUGAACCUCAACCUCUUCAUCUUCUGACCAAGACUUAUGAGGAUGACUUGCACAAUGUAACCACAUGAUAUGCAAAGAUGCAACGAUUAAUGACCUAAAAAAUGCAAUGCAAUAUGUUAAGCUAGUCCCAAGAUAGGAGGGCAAAUUUUGAGGUAUUACAAUAACAUCCAGAAUUUUUCAAAGUUUCAUCUGUGACAAUUGAUUGCAAUGAAAUGAAAAUCAAUUGUCUUAAGUGUAACGUUCAAAAAUAUCCAAAAUUGAACUAUGUAAAUCGAUUUUACUUCCCUCAACAAUCGAUUGUCAUGCUUAGAAAAUUUAUUUUUUGGAUGGCGAAAUGAUAUGACAAUUAUGUGACAAUCGAUUGCAGCCUAGUGACAAUCGAUUGUCACCUUGAAAAAAUUGAAAAUUUUCUAAGUCUUUGAAACCUUAAUGCAAAAACUUAAAGAAUGAUCUUAGAUGAAUAUGCUUGAGCACUUGUACCUUGAUAAUCAUUCAAUCCUUUGAAUCAAAACAUUGAUCUUGAUCAUAACCAUCCAUUGAAGCUUGACUUCUUUAACUUGACUUGAGCAUACACAAUCUUGACAUUCUUUCCAUAUAUUUGUCUUCAUCAAAACAUAGUAUCAAAUGUAAGCUUGCUUUCACAAUCUCCUCCUUUUUGAUGAUGACAAGUCCAUAUUAUGAUGUUUGUGCAUUUUUCAGAAUAUUCCCUUACGAUGAAUAAACCCCCCUUAAUCCAAGAGUAUUUGAGUACUUAAUGUCACGACCUAGAUAAAAAUGAAUAAACCCCCUCUUAGUCUAAGAGUAUUUGAGUACGAGGGUCAUACUUGACUUUCAUCUUACCGUUGUAGAUUUUUGGAGCAAUGUGAUAUUCAGGAGGACGCAUUUCAAUAAGAUUUUCAUCUGUGAGAUUAAUGUUGCAUCUUCUAAAAACCAUUGAUAUAAAACAUGCAUUAGGCAAACCUUUUGAAAACACAUUUCUAUUUUUCAUAUGAUGCAUAAUUACACAUGUCCAGUUGACCUGUAAGUUGUUGUUUAUAGCAUAUAUAAGCCGCAUCUCAGUGUCAGUAAUGAUAGAAUGAUUAGAGAAAUUUGGUACCAACAUAUAAGCCAGAUAAUGAUGGAUCAUUUGGUCAUUUAUUGUAAGGAUACCGGUGGACCAUGAGUUGCGUUCAGGAAGUUUUCCAGCAUCUUUUUCCUUUUUUGAAUAAACUCAUGUUCAUAUAUCCUAACUAUCAUAUAAUAGAUGUCCUUUUUCAUAAAACCAAGCAAUUGAGCAUCAAGGUUUAAUUUAAUUUUCACACCCAUCAUAUGGUAUACCUAGACAUUCUCCUAACUCGUUUACUGAGAAGGAGAUAAGGACACCCUUCACAUUUUAACUUAUCCUAUCAUCCUUAACUUUCAUGUUACGAUAGAAUACUCUAACUAAAUCAGGAUAAUAUGUUCCAUAACUUCCAAUCAAUUAAGCAAAUUUCUAAUUUCUUAUUUGAAGAGGAAAACUAAAAUAGGGAGAAUGAAAGUUACCAAGACCAUCAAACCUUUGUGCAAUUUAGAGUUUUGGUUUGGAAGAAAUCCACAAACUGUUGUCUUUGUUUGAAUACGGAAUUUUUAUAAAUCAUUUCCUUGAAGAAGACAUAUUAUUGAUGAAGAGUAAGAGUUGAACCUUUAAUGGAGUUUGUGAAACUUUGGAGAAGAUGAAGUUUGAAAAGUGGAGCCCUUUUUUGCGUAAAAGGUUGCGCCUCUUUUUACUAUAGAGGGAGAUAAAAAAAAUUGAAAAAUGGGGCGGCUAGGGUUUGACCACAAGUGAGAGUCCUUUGGCUUUUAUAGUGUGGAGAAAGAAGAAUGAUGAUUGGAAUAGAAUUCGAUAAAAAAAUUGAAAAUUUUGUUAGCGAUAAUCGAUUGUAAGGACCUGUCAAUCGAUUUCCUCAAAAAAGUGGAAGGAUUCUGUUUUUAAAAAAAUGAAGUUUGCACGCAUGACAAUUGGUUGCACCUAUAUGACAAUAAAUUGUCACAACUUUCAUAAACUCUAUGUUCUAAUUUUUCUUUUUGCAAUUUCCGUGCAUGACAACCGAUUGCAUGACUAAUUUUUUUUGAGAAAUUCAUAAAAUUUGCAGAAUAUAUAUAUAUAUAUAUAUAUAUAUAUAUAUAUAUAUAUAUAUAUAUAUAUAAACACAUAAUUAGAAUUUAUUAAGAAAUAUAGUUAUGUUAAUUCACAAAUGGAAUUGUGAAUUCACUUAAGUAUGCAUACCUUUAGAUAUCACUCUCAUUUAGAAUUCUGAGUUCUCAUCGAAUUUUGAAGAAUGCAUCUUUUGGUAGAGGCUUGGUAAAGAUAUCAACUAAUUGAUUAUAUGUGUCUAUGAACGAUAUCUCCAUAUCGCCUUUGAGUACAUGAUCCCUUAAGAAGUGAUGUCUUAUGUCAAUAUGCUUGAUUCUUGAAUGCAUGAUCGAACUUUUUGAAAUGUUGAUCGCAUAAUUUUUUAACAUUUCAAUGAGAUGCACCCUAGGUUUACAUAGUAAUCACAAAGUAGUUGCUUUAGCCAAAUUAUAUGUGCACAACUUCCAGCAGCAAUAUAUUCUACUUCUAUGGUACUAAGUGCCACACAAGCUUUCUUUUUACAUGACCAAGAUACUAGAGAAUUUCCUAAAAUAUGACAAGUUCCACUAGUGUUUUUCCUAUACGUCUUACAUCCUACAUAAUCUGAAACAGAAAAACCAACAAGACUACAUACACAGUCUUUGGGUACCAUAACCCGACAUUGGUUGUCCCUUUGAGAUACUUACUUAUUCUUUUCACAAUAGAGAGAUGAGAUUCCUUUAGAAAUGUUUGAUAACCUGCACACAAUCAUACACUAAACAUGAUAUUAGGAUGAAUUGUUGUUAGAUAUAACAAAGAAUCAACCAUACCUUGAUAUUUGGUGAUAUCAACUGGAACAUCAGAUUCGUCUUGAGCAACAUAUGUGCUAGAUCCCAUUGGUGUAGCAAUUUCUUUGCAAAUAUCCUUGUCAUAUCAUUUAAGAAGCUCUUUACAAUACUUAGAUUGAUUGAUGAAUAUGUCAUUAUUUUCUUGUUUAAUUUGCAACCCAAGGAAGUAUUUAAAUUUACCCAUCAUGAACAUAUCACAUUCGUCUUUCAUUAUGGAUGGAGAUUCUACACAUAAGAAUUCAUUAGUGGAUCCAAAUAUGAUGUCAUCUACAUAGAUUUUCACUAAGAGAAUGUGUUUAUUAAUUUUUUUGAUAAAGAGAGUAGUGUCAACUUUACUCUUUUUGAAGCCUUUUUCAUAAAGAAAAUUACUUAACAUGUCAUAUCAUGCUCUUGGUGCUUGCUUAAAUCCAUACAAGGACUUUUUGAGUUUUUACACAUGAAAUGGAUGUUUGAAGUCUUCAAAUCAUGGUGAUUGACUUGAAUAAAAUUCUUCAAGUAUAUGUGCAUUAAAGAAUGCAUUUUUGACAUCCAUCUAGUAUAACUGAAAAUUCAAAGAACAAGCAUAUGCUAACAAUAAUCUAAUUGCCUCUAGUCUAUCAAUAAAAUAAAAUGUUUCCUCAAAUUCUAUACAUUCCUCUUGAUUAUAGCCUUGGUCCAUUAAUAUUGUUUUAUUCGUUAUGAUGAUACCAUUUUCAUCUAGCUUAUUUUUGAAAAUCCAUUUAGUUCCAAUGAUAUGCUUAUUUUUUAGUAUAGGAACCAAAUCCCAUACUUUGUUUCUUUCAAAUUUAUUUAGUUCCUCUUGCAUAGCUAGAAUACAUUGGUCAUCAUCUAAGGCUUCUUUUACUUUAGAAGGGUCAACUUGAGAAACAAAUGCCAUGUUUAGGAAAACAUCUUUAAGAUCUAUACACGUAUAGACUCCCUUAUUUAUGUCUCCAAUGAUGUUAUCAAUAUGAUGAUCUCUAUGUGCUCUCCAUUCUCGAGGGAUAUUAUUUUGGUUCUUCUCAUGUUGAAUGAUUUCCUCUUUGUGUCCGGACUGUUCAAUAUUAUCAUCUUUGGAAAUGCCAUCUAUAGGAAUUUCUAAAAUAUCAUCAUCAACAUUACAUACAACUAUAUCCUCCUUAUAGGGGCUAGAUUCAUCAAAAUAUAAAUGAAUAUCUUCUUCAAUAUUUAAAGUUUUUAUUGUAAAUUAUGUAAGCCUUACUUGAGAGAGAGUAGCCAAUAAAAAUACCUUUUUUUUUGUUCUCGUCGAACUUACCAAGAUUGUCUUUGUCAUUGUUGAGGACAAAGAAUUUACAUCCAAAAAUAUGAAAGUGAGAGAUGUUUGGAUUUCUUCCCUUGAAGAGUUCAUAUGGAGUCUUUUUGAAUAUCGGCCUUAUGAUAACCCAAUUGCUUACAUAAUAUUCCAUGCUUACCGCAUCCGCCCAAAAGUAUUUUGGUAGAGUAGAGUCACUUAGCAUGGUUCUUGCAAGUUCAACUAGGGAUCAAUUAUUUCUUUCACCCACUCCAUUUUAUUUACGAGUCCUUGGUGCUGAAAAGUUAUGAAAGAUGUUAUGUUCCUCACAAAACUCUUUAAAUGAUGCAUUAUGCAAUUCUCCACCAUGGUCACAUCUAAUUGAUGUAAUAUUCAAGGAUUUUUCCGUUUUGCACUUUCUUUGCAUAUAUUUUGAAUGCCUUGAAAGCAUCGUUUUUCUCUACUAAAAAUAGUGUCCAAGAAUAUCUAGAAAAAUCAACAAUAUUAACUAAAGCAUAUACUGAAGGUGACAAGAAACACAAGAAAUGGGGGUUUGAAUUGGGUUUUUAAAAAUGAAAACUUUUUCAACCCAACACAACAAAAUGAAAUAAGAGAAUAAAAAUAAUGAAAUAAUAAUACUGGUUCGUUGUUAGCAAAGCCACCUCCAGUCCAUCCGCCAAGGUUAUUUCGCCUUAUCAACAAGGACUUAGUCCACUAUAACCAAACUUAUUACAACAUAAAGACCUACAAUCAAUAUCUUCUUGAGUAUUCUAACUAAACCCUAGUCACUCAAGGAAAACAUAAUUAAAUAGGUUGAAAUACAAAUAUGUGUUUACAAAAUGCUUCUCAAAAAGAAGAAUACACAAAUGAAUACAAGUUUCUCACAAAAAAUAUAUUCUAUGAAGAGUAUGAACGAAAGUUCUAGUGUGUGUUUUCUUUUCUCUCAAAAUAUUUCACAAAUGCACUAUUUACGUAGAUGAAUUCUUAGAAUGUGUAGCGUAGCUUGGCACUGUUUCAUUCUUCAAAUCUCCUUUAUAUAGGCAAUACAAAUAUUUGUUGGAGGGUAGAGUUGAAAUAUCAAAAUGCAGUUAUAUCUUGCAUAAUGGUUGUCGCUACCAGAGAUUUCACGCGAUAACGAAACCGGGAACUGACUGUUAAAAAGAAACAUAAGAGUCGCCACCAAAUUUUAUUGGAUUUCCUCUUUGGGAGAGGGGAGAGAAAAUAGUCGAUAAAACCCUCGGGAAAAAGGUAUGCACAUAGAAAGUGCAAAAUUACGGAUAGAAAAUCGGUCUUGCAACCGAGACUUGGGUUCGGAAGUCGGUUACGCAAGGGGAAGGUAUUAGCACCCCUCACAUCCAUGAUACUCCAUGGGAACCAUUUAGUUUGUCUGUGUAUGUGGGUAUUUAUCUUGUUUAUUGUGUUUAUUUUCUAAAGAAAUUGAAAGAAUUGGGUUUUGGAUUUUUUAUUAUUGUGCUCGCCAAGGAUUGUGACCCUUGUGACUAUGUAUCAUUCUUCGGAUGAUGAAGAAUCAGAGCUCCGUAGUUUAGAGUAGAAAAUAUUUGUGUGUUGGUUUACUUUACCUUUGCCACAAUUUGACAAAGGUUAGAAAGUGAAAACCAGAGCAACAAUCAUAAUCUAAGAACACAACUGAGUACCAAAUAUGGAAUAACAGAAUUAAUAUAGGUUUUCUAAUUAAAAUGUUGAAGCGAACAUUUUGUGCAGUAAGAGAAGUUCGCGCUAUUCAAGAUGUCACAUAACAUGUUCCAAACAUCUUUUACAACAAGUUGGUUACAACCAAAUCUUUAUGUUAAACAACUUUAGCAGAAACUUGGACUCAACAAAUCUUGAAACAACUAUGAAGUGCAUGAGAAUCCACUACGUAUAACACUCAUGCCAAGAUGUCACAUGACAAUUCUGAACAUCUUGCUCGACAAGAACAACAAAACUUAGUAUGAACCAUAUGAAAAACACAUGGGCCAGGAUGUCAUAGAAUAUGUUAAAACAUCUUGCUCUCCAUUUGGUUAUUUUUAAGUGAAAGCACAAAUAACAUAUAUUAAAAAAAGUGUGCCCUUUUCUUUUUCUCCCCCUAUUUUCCUCAAAAGAGACAAAGGAUAUAUGACCGCCAUAAAAUAAGCAGCAAGCAAGAUGUUGUGCAGAUUCUUCUAGACAUUCUUCAGCACGACGAAACCAAAAACGGUCUAUAAGCAUGAGCUUAGAGAAAACAACAGCUCACAACUUCUUAUGAACACUAAAUAUAAACAACACCAUCAUAUCCUCAUCUCCCCCACAAAGAUGCAGUAGUAGUAACAACAAGUUAAGGUGGAAAUGUUUCAACGUUUCUCCAUAAAAAACCAUAUCAGUUUCAUAUAUGUGUAUCAGAAGACAGAUGUCAGACACAAGGUCAUCCACAUCUUUCCCAACAUUCAGUAUGUAACUUAAAGUCAAAACAUUUGGGGCAACACCAAUCUCAUCGUCACAAAUAACAAUGUUUUUCUUUUGAACACUCAAAAUAUCACAUAUUAGAUAGCAAACACUAAUAAGUGGUUGGAUGCCAUGAAACUCAAGCUGUUUAACAAAUUGACAAAGACAACAUUCUCCAUAUUCCAAGGUAGCAUGAGUUCCUACCUAGUACAAAAAACGAAUGAUGCAACAAUAUAUUUCUUUUGAUUGAAGACUUAGCAUAUUUUAAAAACCAAAAUCAUCAAUAACAGAAACAUUGAAAGGCCUAAUGUCUAGGGCAUAUUUUCCAACAAAUAGCUUGUUCCUAAAAUUCAGCACUCCGUGAGGAAUACAAAAUCCAAUAUUUAGCAUUGUCUUCAACAACUGAUCAUCACUAAGAAACUCCAUAAUUUUAUUAUACUUCCAUGCUUCAACAUAAUAUUCUUCUUCAUCCUCACUUGCAGUUUCCUCUUCUUCCUCAUCACCAUCUUCCUUUUCCUUGGUCAUAAUCUUGUCAAUAUAGAGAACCUUAUCAGACCAUGCAUAAUUGCUUCGCCAAAAUAAUCAUUAAUAAUUGAAGGUGAAAAAUUCACACAUUUUCCUCUAUCACACACCUUUCUAUACUCCUUGUUGCCUUAACAUUACACUCAAUAAUAAUGUUCACAAGAAAAGAAAUUCAUUAUCAAUAGAAUUAGUAAUAAGUAUCUUAGAUGAACAGCCCUUGUUUAAUGUCUCUCUUCUUAAUUCUACUCAUGUCUUUCUAUUUAGGACUCACCUUAAAUAUGAGACCCCUCUCACUUUCUCUCAAUCACUAACCCUAAUGAUCAAUACAAUAACCAAAAUAUUGAUUAUUGAAUUACAACUCAACUAACAAAGAAAACUUCAUGCCUUUAGAUAUGAAUGCCGACACUAGAGUAGUGCACAAACAAUAACACAAACAAAGACUCAAAAUGUAAAUCCUAACACAAAGAUUCUUCCAUACUUGCACACACUUUAAAUGUUAGAUUUGAGUCUCCUUAAGUAGCAAUGCAAUCUUCUGGGCUUUUCUCCAAUGUGCAUAAGAUAUGAUCACGUCCAGAUUUAUAGAGGAUCCAAUUUUGAUUUGUUUUUCAUAAACCUCCAACAAAAAGAUUUGAUUUGAUUCAAAUUUAAAUAUCUAAUUGAUUUAAUUUGAUCCUUUUAACCUGUCAAACAAAUUUAAUUCACGCAUUGCUAAAAGAUAGCAACAAAUUUGAUUGAAACACAACCAUAAAUUUUGCUCAUAACAACAACAACCAUGGCAUGUUGAACAAGGCCACAUGUCGCACACAUGCUGGAACAUGGUCCCACAUGUGUCCUUUCUUCACCAAAACAUCUUGUACACUCCAUAUUGUUUUAUAAAAUGCAGUCAAUCAAAAAGAACAACAUGUAUAUCAAAGUGAAUGUGUAGAAGUCUCCCGGUGCAACAUUUAGAUUAAAAUCUCUAGCAAAUAAUUAUUCCACUAUACAAUAAGAGGAAGUGUGAUUUUAUCUUUGUAAUUUAUUAAAGGAUGUGUGAGUUUUCUUGGUACUUAUUUGAAGGAUGUGUGAUUUAUACAAAGAUCCCAACAGUGGAAUACAAGAUUAUCUGAUAUUCCCAAUGAUGAAUGUGUGAUUAUUCAUGGCAUGAUAUGAUAAUUUAUCCCAGCAUUCUAGUCAUGUGGAUAUGGUGAUUUUUCCCAUGAUUCAGUUUAAGUCAUGUCUAUUUGUCUCGGUAACUAUUACAAUGAUAUGUGAUUAUUUUAGUGAUUUAGUAUAGGGCAUGCUGAUUUGUUCAUCCACCCCAAUUGGUAGGUAUGGAGAUUUAUCCUAUAAUCAGAUCAUUUAAGGUGCUAUAAUAUGGUUGGUAAAUUUUCUUUUCCUUUUUUCUUUCGGUGAAUUUAUAAAUAUAUCUUAUCAUCUUACACAUGUUUGUUGGAUUACUAAGAUGCCAACAUAAUUGAGUUGUCAGUUAAUCCUAAUGAUGUAUUUUCACAUUCAAGUUUUUGUUUAGAAAUCAAUAGCAUAUAGUUUUGUAUAUUAAUAUAUAGAUUUUACCGCUAAAUCAAUGUAGAAAUUCACAAAAGUAUUAAUGAUAAUUACCAUUCAUAAAAAAAUACCAAUAUAUUAUGUAUAUGAAUGUGAAUCAUUAAAAAAAUGUUAACGAGUAUAUUGAUGGAAUCAUGCUACUACAAAAUGUUAUACUAUUUCUCUAUAAUCAAAAUAUUAACAUAUAUAAAAUCAUACAAAAUUCGUUCAUUUUAUGUAUAACUGUUGUCAUGCUCAUUGUGAAUUAUUAUUAUUAUUAUUAUUAUUAUUAUUAUUAUUAUUAUUAUUAUUAUUAUUAUUAUUAUUAUUAUUAUUAUUAUUAUUAUCAAUUAUUAUUAUUAUUAUUAUUAUAAAAAACCCUUUCCAUCAUUAAAAGUUUAAAAGUUAGUUGAAAACAUGGAUUCAAAUUAUUAGCAAAAUUUUUAAAUUACCGUCUUUGUAAAUAUAACAUUUUGAUCUCCUUAAGAGACACUUUAAAAUAUUAUAAUUUAAUAGGAGGGUUUUUUUUAUUCAAAUUCUAAAGCACUAAAUUUUUUAGUUUUUUAUAGCAACAUGUGUUUUAUACAUUAUAUAAGAGAAUAAUAUUCUAUUUACUACAUGUAAAGAGAGAAAAUAUGACUAAAAUUCUCAAAUUUGUGUAUGCUAUAAUUUUAUUUCUUUUCCUUGUUCCAAAGAACAUUGGUGCUGCUGGUAACUUAUUUUUCCAUCCUUUUAUAAAUUCGUUCUAUAGUUAAUAGUUCACAUAUAAUCUUUAAUCUCAUUUUAGUAACAUUAUUUUGUUAUGUUUUUUCAUUACAGUGGCAAUUGGUUGUGUAACUGAUAAUGAUUGUCCAUCAAGAACUGCUAGUCGUAGGUAUAAGUGCGUUAGAAACAAAUGUAGACAUACUAGAGUAAUGCACUAAGGAAGAAUAAAGUCUCAUACUAGCAAUAAAAAAAAAGUUUCAAUAUAACUUUUUGCUAGAAUUUUUUUAGUUUCCACUUAAGUAUUGUGAUGACUCCAAAUAAUAUCAUUUUUAUUUAUUUAAUUUUUUGUAAUUUUACCAACCUUGCAAUAAUAGUUUUGUACUCUAAGAUCGGCCACUAAUUUAAGCAUGUCAUAAUAAUUUUAAUAGUUGAAUUGAAAGCAAAUUAUUUUAUUUAAAAGUUUAUAACUUUAAUUAUGCAUUAUAAUUGUUGGAAUUAAACCAUAAAUUUUGAGUAAUUUCGAAUCAAUAUUGAUGAACAAGAUUCAAUCAACCGAUUGAAUUCUCAUUUGUUCUUCACUUUUCAUUUGAGUAAAUCAAUCAACAUUGGUUGUAAGAUUGUAUCGUUGCACAAUGAUGAUGAAAACAAGAAAAAAAAUUGAAUAAGAAAGAAGAUUAGAGUUUGACGGAAAUUGGAGAAGAAGAUGAUUUAUGCAGAGUCUCUCUCUGCCCACUAUUUGUAGAAAAUCUCGUUAAUUUUGCAACUGCAAGUGAUUACAAGAUUAUAAUAAAAAUAGAGAUUACUCUCCCUAUUUAUAAUUGAGCUAGCUUGCUCCUUAAGCUAAAGCUCGGAAAUUACAAAGGCCCAAAAUACCUAUUUUGGUCUAAGUCAAAAUUGUGUCAAGCAACCUGCUUCUAUACUUCGACAUCUAAUACAACUCGACGCACACUACAUGUUUUGACACAUCCUUGUUUUUGUCAAGUACUACCAGCUUCGACACAAUGAAUUAUAAUUCAACACAUCAUCUAAUUGGUUGUGUCUAAGCUAUCUACAUUCAUCAUAGAUCUUAACUUCUCAAACACUUCGAUUUGCACUCCUUCGUCAUGAUAUUUGCAAUCUGAUUCUCAGUUCUAGAGUGUUCCAAGUUUAGCUUCUCUUCUGCUACCUGCUCUUAAAGAUAGUGGAACCAUAUUUCGAUGUGCUUGCUUCGCCCAUGUGCUAUCGAAUUCUUCGCUAGAUUGAUAGCAGACAUGUUGUCGAUCUUCAUGGUAAUUGCUCCAUGAUUCUUCCCUGUAAUCUCUUCGACUAGAUUCACCAUCCAUGUUGCUUGACAUGCACAAAGAGAAUCAGUUAUGUACUCUGCUUCACACGACGACAAUGCCACAACUGGUUCCUUUCUCAAACUCCAAGCAAUUGGCGCACCAUCUAGCAUAAACAAAUAACCAGCUAUGGAUUUUCUAUCCUCAACAUCACUACACCAAGUUGAGUCGGUGUAUCCCACUAGCUUGCAUUAUUUUCCUUCAUCAGCUGCAGGAAACAUAAUUCCAUAGUCGAGAGUUCCUUUCAGAUACCUUAGAAUCCUCUUCGUUGCUGCUAGGUGUAAUACCUUUGACUUCUAAAUGAAUCUACUCAUUAUACCUACACUGUAUGCUAGAUCAUGCCUUGUGUGACAAAGGUAUCGAAGUGAUCCAACGAGUCUUCGUUACUGCGUUGGAUCGACAUCAUCUUCAUUUGUGUCUUUCGACAGUUGCAAUUUGGGCUCAUCUAGAGUUGAAGUUGGAUUGUAUUCUUGCAUCUCAAAUCUCUUGAGUAUUUUGCCUGCAUAUCUUCUUUGGUGCAUUAUCAAGCCUCUACUACUCUUGUAGAAUUUGAUGCCAAGAAAGUAUGAGAGAUUUCCUAAGUCAAACAUUUCAAACUCCUUACUUAGGUCAUGUUUGAAGUCUUCGAUCUCCUUCUUGCAACUUCCUGUUAUUAACACGUCAUCAACAUAGAGACAUAGUAUAAGUAAUUCAUUAUUGCUUCUUCUUACAUAUAUUCCAUGCUCAGUUGUGCACUUUGCAAAUUCCUUUUCCCUUAGAAAAUUGUCUAUCUUCUUAUUCAAAGCUCUUGGAGCUUGCUUAAAUCCAUAUAGGGCUUUAUGCAGCUUGUAUACUUGCUUUCUUCGCCAGGCUUCACAAACCCUGCUGGUUGUGCAACAUACACUUCUUCAUCUAAGGGUUCAUUCAGGAACACGCAUUUCACAUCCAUAUGACAUGUGUGCCAGUUGUUCAUGUUUGCUAGAUCAACAAUCAACCUGAUUAUUUCGAUCCUAGCAACAAGUGCAAAAACUUCAUCGAAGUCGAUUCCUUCCUUCUGAAGAAAUCCUUUCACCACAAGUCUUGCCUUGUGUCGAUUUACUUCCUAUUUUGGAGUGUAAGGUGGCACCACCUCAUGCAUAAUCCCUUCUUUCUCACAUAGUUUGUCGAAGUCUUUUGACACAUACUCUCCACCACCAUCAGUCCUUAGAAUCUUGAGCUUUCGACCAAUUUGUAUUUCGAACAUAGAUUUAAACUUGGCAAAUACCUUGAUCACUUCACUUUUCUUCUUGAUCAGGUAAGUCCAUAAUUUUAGACUGAAAUCAUCUAUGAAUGUGACAAAGUAUCUAUUACCUCCAAUCGAAUGACCUGGAUAGAACCAUACACAUCAGAGUAUAUGACUUCAAGAAUUGCCUACGACCUGCUUCAUGUAUCUUUGUUGAAUUUGUUAUUGUGCUACUUCUCCUGUACACAUCCUUCACACAUUUUAUUUGGAUGUCAAUUUCUGGUAACACUGCAACCAUGUUUCUUCUUUUCAGAUCUCUGAUGUCUUUGAAAUUGAGAUGGCUAAGUCUUUAGUGUGAUAUCCAUUCAUCCCUGCUAGCUGCAGUUGCAAGGCACUUGUGCUCCAUCACAUUAAGUUCAAUCCUGAAGGUUCUAUUCUUAGACAUAGGUGCCUUCAAGAUUAACCUUCCACCUAAGUCGAGAACUCUCAUCAUAUUAUCUUCAAUCGACACUUUGUAGUUUUUUUUACCAACUUCCCUAUGCUAAGCAAAUUUCUUUUCAUGUCUGGUAUGUACAGUACAUUGGAAAUUACUAACUUUUUGCCAUCUUUCCUCAUAAUCAUAACAUCACCAAUACCUUCAGCUGCUAAAGUAUUUUCAUUUGCAAAUUUUACCAUGUUCUUCAUUGAGGGUUUCAUGUUGACAAAACAAUUUUUCCUACCAGUCAUGUGUGAUGAGCAUCCUGAGUCAAAGUACCAUUGGUCCUAGAAUUUUUCUUCAUCUCUUGUUGUGACCAUUAACAACAUCUCUUCUUCUUCAUGCUUUGUAAACUUUGCAUCAUUAUCUUGAUUCUUUUGUUUUUCAGGACAAUCACUAGAGUAAUGACCAUACUUUUGAUAAUUGAAACACUGAAUGUGACUUUUUUCAGUUUUUGACCACCACUUCUUCCUCUACCUGCACCACCACAUCUUUGGUUGCUUUAUUAUAAGGGUCUUCUCUGGUUCAAUCAACCUCCUUCUUGCUGAUUUCGACUAGUCGAAUUGUUGUAGCCUCAUCUACCCUUGUUGUCGACACACUUCCCUUUGACUUUCUUUUCUCUUGUUGAUUGUGCCUGCAUAGCCACAUCGCUCUUCGACUUGCCUGCAACUCUUUCAACCAUUCUUUGUUCAUGAGAUCCAAGUGUCCCUUGAAGCUCUUGUUUUAUCAAUGCUGACAAAUCUUUCGACUCUUCUAUGGCUACUACUACAUGGUCGAACUUAGGAUCCAAUGACCUCAAGAUCUUUGAAACAACUGAUCUUGAUGUCAACACUUCUCCAUAUACCUUGAUUUGAUUCACCAAUUUUGUAAUCCUAGUGAAGAAAUCAAUUAUGCUUUCAUUGUCUUCCAUCUGAAGCAACUCAUACGUUCUUUUGUGAGUUUGUAACCUCACCUCUUUCACCUUCUCUCCGCCUCCAAACGAUUUUUCAAUAAUUUCCCACGCUUCUGUCGAUGAUUCAACAUCACUAACCUUUUCAAAAUUGUCAGAAUCGACACAUUGAUGAAUUAUAAAGAGAGAUUUAUAAUCUUUCUUCUGCAAUUCUUUGUGUGCAACUUUUUCUUCAUUCUUCGCGUUUGUUGCAAGCAGUCUCAAUUCCUCCUUCGCAAGAUCCCAAAGAUUUUGAUAGCAAAAGAUAACAUUCAUCUACUUGCACCAAUUCUCAUAAUUCUGAUUCUUCGGAAUUGGGAAACCCUCCAAAAAAUGCUCAUUCAGAUUAUUUAUCACCAUCGUGUUUUGCUUCCCAUGAAUCGCUCAGCUAGUGCUCUAAAUACCAUAUGUUGGAAUUAAACCCAAAACUUUGAGUAAUUCCGAGUUAAUCUUGAUGAAUAAGAUUCAAUCCACCGAUCAAAUUCCCACUUGUUCUUCACUCUUCACUCAAGUGAAUCAACUAACCUUGGUUGCAAGAUUGUAUCGCUUCACAAUGAUGACGAAAACAAGAAAAUAAAAUUGAAUAAGAAAGAAGAUUAUGGUUUGACAGAAAUUAGGGAAGAAGAUGAUUUCUGCAGAGUCUCUCUCUGCCCACGGCCUGUAGAAAAUAUCGUUAGUUUUGCAAUUACAAGUGAUUACAAGAUUGUUAUGAAAAUAAUGGUUACUCUCUCUAUUUAUAAUUAACCUAGCUUGCUCUAUAUGCUAAAGCCCAAAAUUUACAAAGGCCCAAAAUACCUAUUUUGGUCUAAGUCAAAAUCAUGUGUCAAACAACCUACUUCGACACUUCGAUAUCUAAUACAACUCGACGCACACUACAUGUUUCGACACAUCCUUGUUUCUGUUGAAAAAUACCUACUUUGGCAUAAGGAAUUACAAUUCAACAAUAAUAAUUGAAAUUCUGGUAUGCAGAUCCCAUAUGUCAUAUACGAUGUCACGACACCAGGGUCAACGUAUUGUCACAACACAAACAAUAUCAGUGUUUAAGUAAGUAGCAGGAAGUAAAUAACACAAAUAAUUGUUAACCCAGUUCGGUGCAAUGUCACCUACAUUUGGGGGCAUCCAAGCCAUGAAGGAAGUCCACUAUAACAUAAUUAGUUCGUAGUUCUAAACAACCUCAUGUUUUAUAAAUUUCUCACCUAAUCUCUACUCGUGGAGGUUUCUAUCCAAGAUUCUUCUAGAUAUGAGACCCGUCCCACUUCUCUUCAAUCACACAAUAUUGACAACGACUUCUAUCAGAAAAUAGAGGACACACUUCCAAUAAAGCAGAAUUCACUCUUGCUUAAAAACUCAUGAGUGAUUCACAAUUACAACUCAAUAAAACAAGUCAAAUUCAAGUAUCGAAGAGAUACUCGAAUGGCUCGCAAAUAACAAAGACACCUAAACCCUAACAAAGACAAUAUACAACACUGCUUCUUUGCAUUCUUAGGUUUAUAAUCAAUCUUUAAAUAUCACUAGAAAUGCAUGGGUUUGGGCUUGAUCAACAGCAGAUCCAAGAACUACUGCACAAUCUUCUGCAAAUUUGAAUCCAAUCAUAUCGGAUGUUUCCUAAAAUGUAUUGACAUCCUUACUUCGGAAAUAAGGCAAAGUACAAAUAACCCUUUGCUUUUAAAACAUGUGUUUCUUUAACCACAUAACUCGUGAAAUAAACCUUCAGAGGAUCUUCAGAUAUCUCACGAUAGAAACAAAUCUUUCAAGAAACUGAAACAGGGUACACUCCGAUGUUGAACCAACAUGUCAGGACAUCUUGUCCAACAUCUUGCUUGAAUACACGUUUUUCCAAAAUGCAGUCAAUCCUUACACACUAGACUUAACAAUCCCCCCCCCUAUUGGUAAAUUUUGGCUAAAACAAGCUAUUCAUAACCCAACUAGAAAGAGGGUAAAGAUCACAACAAUAAGGAGCAAUAUAAACAACACACAUGCAUAAGAAAACAUGAUCUUCUUCAAACCAAAAACAACAGAGGCAAGCACAGUAGAAAAAAAUGUAUCCUCACAUCAGAGAGAAUUAAACUCUCACAUGAAGAACCCGCUUAAGAGAAAAAUAAAUUCUCUCAAUCAGGAUGUCAAGACAUUUGUUAUGACUUCAUUAAAACUAACAUCCCACGCGAACUAGCAUAUCACCAUAAUCUAGAAAAGCAUAUACCCCCCUUGAGUAGCAUAACAAUUGCAAGAGCUACUCCCCCUCCAUAAGAAAUCCCCCUCAAGGGGCAGGACUCAUGGCAGGGCUAUCAAAAAGACCACAAGAACUAUUCCCCAUUUUUAGCCAAAAGAUUGACAAACACAAUCAAACUUAGAAGUAGCAGAGCAAACAAUCAGUUAAGUUACAGAUCAAGAGCA
Molecule: long non-coding RNA, 83594 nt
Filed under: Lathyrus oleraceus (garden pea)
Lineage: Eukaryota; Viridiplantae; Streptophyta; Magnoliopsida; Fabales; Fabaceae
Description: Pisum sativum (pea) long non-coding RNA (PSAT_LNC038794)
Source: RNAcentral